This 74976-nucleotide long non-coding RNA is filed under the name Gossypium barbadense (sea-island cotton). Its description in RNAcentral is "long non-coding RNA (GBAR_LNC004019)". Lineage: Eukaryota; Viridiplantae; Streptophyta; Magnoliopsida; Malvales; Malvaceae. The record is from RNAcentral.
UUUUUUUUCCUUCAAUUCAUUUUGUCACUAAACUGAAAUGCUCAAUUUGAUCAUUUAUUCAAUUUUCAUGCUUUUACAUUAUUCACGAUUUUAUAAUCAAUACAUAUGAAAUAACACAUCAUGAAAUUCAUAAAAUUAACAAAUAAUCACUAAAAUUUUAUCCAUAUAAACUCACAAGUUCAAUUUUUGUAUCAUAAUGAUAAUCAUAAUUUCAUAAUAAAUAUUCCAAAUAAAUCAUUAUAUCAUUUCUAAUUCAACACUUAUCUAUUAUAAUCGGGCAUGUGAUCAAUUUAUACACGAGUCAUUCAUAUAUAUAUGUAUAUUUUUCCUCCUCCUCUCCAUUCACAUCCUUAGUAUAAACAACACACUUGUAGGUAACAUUAUCCAUAAUUUUCACUAUCUACUUAUGUGAAUAUUCAAGCUGCCCAUCUAUGUCAUAGUCACUAAAUUAUUUUUAUCUUGAGCUAUAGAACUCCAAAUUAAGAUCCAUAAAUUUUCCUAGAAACUAGACUCAUAUGUCUUCUUACCAUAAAAAUUUCAUAAUUUUUGGUUGGGCCAAUUAAUACAUUUUAUUCAUUGAAGUCUCCCUUGUUCUGCUGUCUGACAGUUCCGACCCUUCUUCACUAAAAAUUAAUUAUCUUCUCGUGCAGGAUUCUAAUGAUGUCUUCGCUUGUUUCUCUUGAAAAUAGACUCAUUCAGGAUUCUAAAUAUAUAAAUUUAAUCCCGUAAUUAUUUUUAUCCAAUUUUUUAUGAUUUUACAAAGUCAGAACAGGGGAACCCGAAAUUAUUCUGACCUUGUCUCACAAAAUUCAUCAUAUCUCAUGAUUUACAAUUCCAUUGCUUACAUAUUUUCUUCUAUAAGAAACUAAACUCAAUAAGCUUUAAUUUCAUAUUUUAUUCAUCCUCUAAUUCCAUUUCUACAAUUUUUGGUGAUUUUUCAAAUUUAGACUACUGCUACUGUCCAAAACAGUUUUAGUGCAAAAUGUUGAUUUCUAUUUUGCCCCAAAUUUCACAAUUCAUACAAUUCAGUCCUUGCUCAAUUAACCCCUCAAUUAAGAUAAUUUUCUCAAUUAAUACUUUUCCUAGGCAUUAUAAGUUAUUUCAUAACUAUUGAAAUUCAUAAUUUCUACAUAAAACUCUAACUUCAGACUCUUUUACAAUUAGGUCCCAAACAUUCACUUUCUAUUCAGUUCUUUCAAAAAAUCAGCAUAUAAACAAUUGGAAGCUCUAAUUCCAUGCCAAAUCAUCAUAUACUUCCAGAACAUAUUCAUAGAAACUUUCAAUUUCUUUCAUAGAAUCAAAAACUAAUGAAUUCAAUAAGUGGACCUAGUUGUAAAAGUCAUAAAAACACAAAAAUUUCAAGAAAUAAUCAAGAAUUGAACUUAAUUGAAGCAAAAAUAUGAAAAACCAGCUUAAUGGAACUCUUCCAUGGCAUUUUUUCUGAUGAGAAUGCAAAAAAACAAAGAGAAAUCUAGAUAAUUCCACUUUAGUCCUAGCUUUAUUAAGUAAAUUUUGCAAUUUUCCAAUUUUUCCCUUAAUUCUCCUUAUUUUCUUGCUGAUUUCAUGCUGUUCUCGUCCAUCCCAAAUAGACCUUGGGUCUAUUUGCCUUUUAAACCCUCUUUCUUUUAUCAUUUAAGCUAUUUAAUCAUUUCCCAUAAUUUUGCAUUUGAUACAAUUUAGUCCUUUUUGUUCAAUUAACUAUCAUAACUUUAAAAUUUCUUGAAGAAACUUUAAUACUAACUUAUUAACACUCCAUAAAUAUUUAUAAAAAUAUUUAUGGCUCGAUUUAAAAUUCUUGAGGUCUCGAUACCUCGUUUUGGAUUCUAAUUAUUUUAAUAUUUAUUUUUAGUACACUAUUCACUAUUUCAAAAUUUUUCUUAACUUCACAUUUAACUUAUACUCACUAAAUUAAUAAUAUUUCCUACUCAUUUUCUGGAUUUAGUGAUCUCGAAUCACUGUUCCGACACCACUGAAAAUUAUGCUGUUACAAUGUGGACCAAGGGACACGGCCGUAUGAUUUCUGAAAAAAAUCCCCAAAAUAGUCACACGCCCGUGUGGCACCAAAAUUGGCCGAAACCCUAAUUUCCCAAAUCCACAUGGCCGUCAGGGAAGCCAUGAAACCACCGCAGAACAGCCCCGAAAACACAACUUUAGCCACCAAACCUUCCCCCAACUUUGGUACUAUCAAAACCACAUUAGAAAAUGGAGUAUCGUACUCCCUUUCAGUCUUCAAAGCACUGAAACUAGAGAAUCAAAGGAUUCUCACGAAAAGCCGAAACAACACUUGUAAAAAACAAAAGAUAAGUAGAUUAGUCAAAGUUGAGUCCCACACCUGUUUCAAUGACGAAGAAGACGACAGAGGAGUAGAAAAUCAGGGUCCUUCAACCCCACAACACCACCGAUUCCAAAAAGCAAAAAGACGAACACAAGAACAAAAACCAAGAAGAAAUAGAACAAAAAAUUAAGUGCCAAGUAAAAGCAAAUAAAAAUAAAAAUAAAAAUAAUUAAUAAUAACUCUAAAGACAAAUAAAUAAAAUAAUUAUUUUAACUAAAACCUAAAAUAACUAAAAUGUUUUCUAAAACGCCCACACAGGGACUCGAACUCAGAACCCUGAGACAAACCAACACACUCACAACCACUAGACUAGCAGGCCCAUUCUGCCACUAAACUGCACAACUUAACUUAUGUGUGCAACCUUCCCACUAUCCCUACACUCAAAACCCAGAACUUCUAGACCCAAAAUUCGGGGCGUUACAAAGAAUAUGGAAGAUAAUUUAGGAAUAAAUGGUGUAAAGGAAUAACGUGUAACUGGAGGUGAAAGGCAAUGUCAAUGCGUAAAUGGGUUAGUUGGUAUUGGAUUUGGAUUUUGAUUGGGGUUAAGAUUAGGGAAAAAGUGAGGUUGAUAAUAGGGGUGAAAUAUCAUUGUUGCGUGGCUAAUCAAUGAGAACUUUUUUGUGUUGGCUGAGAAAGAAGUUGCAAUGGCUUAUUGGGCGAUGACCUUUUUUUUUUUCUUUCAUAACAUGUCAUACAUUUCAAGCAUUUGAGAUUUUUAUGCAAAUACUUGUAUAGUUUUUUAUCUAUUCGACAUUGAAAUUCGAUUCUAAAAAAGAUCAACUUUAUAAGGAUUUCUUAAUGGGUAUGGAUCAUUUUAUGUUGGAUAUGAUCUCAAAGCCCCAAGAUUGUCCAAGAAGCCAAUAGCAAAGUUGGCUCAACUUGUGUUUACCUAACCUCUAGCCCAAUAUUAAGGUUAAAUGCAAUAUAUCUAUAAUUACUAUAAAAUCUUUAACUGAGUUAGUAAUUGGUUAAUCAAGGGCCAACUUAGUUGAAAAAACCAAUAUACAUUUUUUUAAUAAAACAUGUAACAAUACAAUUUUUAGUGGUGCUGGAAACUGUGGUUUUGAAACUCCAAUUUUGAUGUUCAAGUUCGUAAAUUUUAAUAAUUAAAUAUUUAAGAGGUUAGUAUUAAAGUCUAUUAAAAUUUGGUCCCUUAAUUUUUUCAAAUUGAUAGUUAAUUAAGGUACAAUGACUAAAUUGUAAAAGUUGUAAAAGUAAAUAGCUAUAGAUUUUUAAUUAAUCAAAGAACCAUUAAGCAAUCGGAUCAUUAAUAUAUUCCCAAACAGUGGUGGAUAUUAUUUGGAACCCAUCAAAUUUGUUAAUUAUGAUUAAAAUUAAUUUAAUUAAGUUUAAUUAAGCUAAUUAGGAUUAAUUAAUUACUAAACUUAGUAUAAAAGAUAAAAUAAAGAAAAAGAUGACAAUUUCUCUCAUUUUCUUCCACAUUUUCAUGAGAAAUAAAUAAUAAUAAAAAAACAUCAGAAAACUUCAAGUAUUCGAUCCUUGAAUUGGUAUGUUAAAUUUAAUAUUUUUUCUUAUAAUUUUUAUAUUUUUGAAGUCGCUGGAGCUUAAUUUAGCUAGCUCAUGUUCAAAUUUUCAAAAAUUUUAAUAUGUUUGAAAGUUUCCAUUGAUGAAUGCUUGAAUAAAUUUGUACUAAAUUGUUAGGUUUUAAGCUUAGAAGUGAAAAAGGACUAGUUUGUAAAGUGAAAAUUGUUAGUUUUGAACAUAGGGACUAAAGUGUAUAGAUUUCGAAAUUGAUAUAAAAUUUCUAUAAUUAUAGAUAUUAGAGGGUCCUAAAAGGAUGUAAUUGAGAUCGAUUUUAAAAUCAAAGCUCAAAUUUGAAAGAUAUUGCAAAUUUAGAUUUAGGGACUAUAUUGAAUAAAAUAAAAAACUUUAAGGGUAUUCAAACAAUAAAAUUAAACUAAUCCAUGCACAAAAUAGAAUACUAUAAACUGUUUGGAAUUGAUAAAUUGAACAAAAUUAUGAUUUAGGUCGGGAAUUAAACCAAAUAAGGGAUAAUUGGGGAAAAAGUAAAAAUUUCUUAUUAGUCCUUGAAGAUUCGGUUGUUUGUUGUGUUGACAAGGUAAGUUCAUAUGGUAUGAUUGUAUUUGAAUUUUUAUAUAUUUGAAUUAUGAAUUUGUGUAUGUUAGACAGUAAUUUGAAUUAUUUGCAAUUUGGUACAAAAUGUGAUAUAUGAAUUAAAUCAUAAAUAAUUGAUAAAUUAAUUGAUAAAUUGAAUAUCAUGAAUUGAAAUUUGAAAUAUUUAAUGAAUUGAUUGUUGAUUACCCUAUUGAUUGUUCAGGCAGAGUCGGAUUUAUUUGAUAGGCCAUAGAAUAGAUGGAGUAUGGGUUGUUUCGAUUAUGUGUCGAUGAAUGUUUCAGACACCUUUUACCUUUGUUAUACUAAUGAGUGUUGGGUGCAAUCUUGUUACUUCAGACCUUUCGACGGGGCAUUAGGUGCCAAAUUUGGUGUGUUGGUUGGAUCAUUGUAUCCGUUCGAGUUUGAGUCAAGUGAAUAGGGAUAUCAAAUGUAAAGUUGAUAAUAGUGUAUCAAUUGAAUUAAUAUUAUGAAAUAAUGCUUAAAAGAAGAGUUAUAAUAUAUGAAUUUCGAUAGUAAAUGAAAGAUUAUGCAAGCCAGAUAUACAAGUCCAGAGGACUGAUAUGAGAACGUGAUGAAUCAAUCGAUUCGAUUUGAAAAAAGAUAUGAAUUUGAUAUUGAAUUGAUUAAAUACUGACUAAUUAUAUGAAUGACAUUGGAAUGUUGAUUAUAAGUGAACUUGAAUGUAAUAUAUUUGAAUUACUAUAUGAUAUGGUUAUAUAUUGAACUCACCUUAUUGAUAUGUGGCUGCCAUGUUUAGGCAAACUUGUUAAGUUAGUAGCUUAUUGUAUUAAAUUGUAAAUUGACGUAAGAUGUUGUUUAAUGCAUAUGAACUUCCUAAGCAUUCGAUAUGCUUAUCCCGUUAUUUUCCUUUGCCUUAUAGAUUGCCAACUUAUGGAAUGUGUCAAACGGAUCAUCGAGAAGCUCAUACUAUCCUGUUAUUGAUUCGGUAGUCUUUCAACUAUUUUAAGCUCGGUUUUGUGGCAUGUAUAUAUGUAACAACCUAUUUUUUGGUGCUACCAAAAAUGGUGGUUUUGAAACCCUAUUUUUUGAUGAUCAAUUCUGUAAAUACAAUUAAUUAGUAUUUACGAGUCUAUUAUAGUAUUUUAUUAAUUUUUGGUUCGAUAAUUUUAUUGAAUGGUUACUAAUUAAGGUACAAGGACUAAAUUGUAAAAUCUACAAAAGUGAAUCGUUGUACAUUUUUAAUAGCUAAAAGGCUUAUUUAGUAUUUGGACAAGGCUUAAAAUGGAAAUUAAGCCAGUUUGGAAUAGCAUGGACGAGUAGUGCAUGUUAAUUUGUAAAUUAUGUGUUAUUAAUAAUGUUAAAUUAAAGUUAAAGGAUAUUAAAACAUAAAACAAAAAGGUAAAUGACCAUUUUUAUCAUCUUUUUCCUCUCUUCUUCAUUGUUCUAGUAUUGAAGAGAAACCAAGGGUUUAGUUCAACUUAAUUCCUUCAUUUGGUAAGCCAAUUUUAGUCUGUUUCUUAUAAAUUUUAUGUUUUUAAAAUCUCGAGAGUUUGAUUUAGCUAACCUGAGGAUUAGAUCGUAAAUCUGUUAAAGUUUUAAAAGUUACAAUUGUUGAAUCUUGAAGCUUUUGGUACUAAAUUGAUAGAUUUUAAGCUUAGAAAUGAAAAAAAAGACUAAUUAGUAAAGUGGAACUUGUUAAAUUUGAACUUAGGGACUAAAGCCUGAAUAUUUUUAAAUUAAUAUGAAAUUAAUGUAAUUAUUGUAAUAUAGGGCUGUAGAAGGAUGGAAUUGAGAUUAGUUUCAAAAUCGAAGCUUAAAUUUGAAAGUUAUAAUAAUUUUGGUUUUAGAGACUAAAUUGAAUAAGAUACAAAACUUGAGGAAAAUUUUUAAAAUGAAAAUUAAAUUGUCUUAUGCAUGAAAUGAUUGAAAUGAAUUACUGUAUAGAUCAAGAUUUGAAUCAACUGGAAGUUAAUCGAGGAAAAAAUAAAAUUACGGAUUAGUCCCCAACAUUGCAUUUAUGGUCGUUUUGGUCUGGUAAGUUCAUUUUGUAUACUUAUUGACUGCCUCCGGACAUACCAAUGUCCAGAGUGUGAAUAUUGCAACUAAAAGAUAUGUAAUUGAGGCGGUGUCCACAAAUAUAAAGGUUAGAUUGUAAUAUAGUUACAACGAAGCAGGUAAGUACUCUAAGGAUUGUACUCAAGGGAGAUAAGUACUAAAUUAAUGUAAUCCUAAACUCAAAUAGAAGUAAUUAUUAGUUUAAAUAAAUUAUAGUACGAUAAAACAUGAAAUAAUUUUUUUGGGGUUUUUAUAAAGAAUGAAAUAAAAAUAAAAAAAGGAAAGUGAACUUUGGAAGUAUGAAUUCUAACUUAAUCAAAUCUAAGUAUGGGUGAUUAGCUCACUUUGGUGUUCAUAACUAAUUCCUAUUUUGGGUUUCUUCUCAAUUAACUAGUCACUACCCUUGCAGGAUCUCUCGAUCUUCCACUAAACUGACGAGUCGGUAAGAACUACUUAUAUCUUGACCUCACAGUCUAGAUUGGUUCAGGCCUAAUAUGUUCAUGGAUAGGCCAUACCAAUUUUGGGUUAAUUCCCAUGAAAAUGACUUAUUAAGAUUGUCAAGCCUAAGGUUUAAGUUCUUCCUCUCCCAAACAAUUGAUUUAUUAAGAAAACCCUACAUAGCAAUUAAUAAAUCACACAUCUGCUCAUGAUCCUCCAUAAAAGGAUUAGUUCCUUAUGAAUCUCAUGAACACGAUAAUCUUGUUAAUAAAUGUAAGAAUAAAUAAUAAAUCAAGAUAAAUGUUUAAGAGAAUCCUGAAUUAUAUUGAUUGAAGAGCAAAAUCCACUGUAGUUUUAUCAUAGUUACAACUCACGUUCUCUGAUGAACACGAAAUAGAAAAGAACUGAAAUAAACCUAAAGCCUAAAAGAAAAACCUAAAAUGUAAAAAUUGUCUCUAAAAAAGUGUUUUAAGAGCGUAUUUAUAGAAUUAGGGUUGUUCUCGUCCUUAACCCUAGGUAAGCUGAUGUUCUCAUGUUUUAAUUUCCAUUGUAUAGACCAAAACGCCCCUAGUUCGUAAGUGCUUCCCAUAUAGGACUGAUGUCGUGGCACCUUAGUCCUUGUGUUGCGACAUCAAAGGUAGUAAGCAUGGUUCAGGGGUGUGUCGCGACAUCCCUUGGUUAUGUCACGGCACCCAAGGCAGUAUAACAAUCUUGACAUUAUGCUCCUUAUGUUGUGACAUCAAAUUCCAUGUGCUACAACAUAACGGUCAACUUUGAGUUCCUAUUGUAACACCCCUAACCUGUAUCCGUCGUCGGAACAGGGUUUAGGAACAUUACCAGAACAUUCAGAAACAUUUACAAAUAGCUCAUGAAAGCUACUAUUCAUUUGCCGAGAUCAUUCAUAACAUCCCUUGAUUAAGACCUCGAGGCCCAAAACAAGCAUUAGAUCAAGUCGGGACUUAAUCGGGACCUCUAAGAAUUUUUCACGAAAUUAUAAAUUUUUCCAAGGUGCAGGGCCAACACGCCCGUGUAACCCUGGGACACGCCUGUGUUGGAGGCCGUGCUCGACCCCGUGAAACUCUCUGACUUGCACACACGACCAUGCCACACGCCCGUGUGCUAGGCCGUAUGGUUAAUUAAUUUAAUUUGAUAUUAGGUGCAAGUUUUACACAGCCAAGACACACGCCCGUGUUCUAUGCCGUGUGGCACACACGGCUGAGACAUAUGCCCGUGUCUUUUACCGUGUGCUCAAUUCUGAGCAUUCUGUUUCUCAAAAUUAAGCUGAAGGGGACGUACGGCCUAACCACAUGCCCAUGUUACCAGGCCGUGUGUUUUACACGGUCUAGACACACGCCGGUGUGUCUGCCCAUGUGGACAAAAUGAAGCCAUUUCUAGCUUAAUUUCUCACCUAAAAUUUCACCUAAGACCUGCACUUGAAACACACAUCUAAUACCAACCAAUUCAAGCAUUCAACUUAAGCAAAUUUCAUCAUUCACAAGGCAUAUCACUACAAGCAUAUAUGAUCACAACCUUACCUUAGUUUAACUUAGGCAUUCACAACAUUGGUUCACAUAUACUCAACUUAACACAUGUGUAUAUAUAUCAUAAUAACCUACUUAAUCAUACCAAAAUAAGUCAUUACUAGCCAUUCCAAUAGCUAGGUUACAAAAUAACAUUUCAAGCCACUAUUGGCCAAGUUGUCCUAUACAUGCCAUUAUAUGGAAAUGAUUUUUACUAAUUAUACCCAAAAGGACUAGUUGAUAAUGUGACGAUACUCCAGUGAUCUCCAACCCUCGCGAGCUUCCGAGCACUAUAAAAUAGGGGAAAAUAAAAGGGAGUAAGCAUUACAUGGUUAAUAAGUUCAUAUAAUAGAAACUAAACUUACCAAUCCCGUUUAUUAAAUCUACGCAUACAAUAACAAGUUUUCCAUCCAUUUGGCUAAGUUGCCUAAACACAUGCAUUCAAUCAAACAUGUUAGUCAUAAAGUUUCCAUAUACAUCAAGGAAGAAUAGAUGAGUUUAUCAUGCAAUACACUUUCGAGACAUUAUCAUUUCAUCUUAUAAUUCUCAUGCCAUGUCAAGAGUUUUAUGUCCAUUGAAUCAUUGAAUUUCGAUGGAGGCUCAAGUAGUACACUCGAAGUGUACGGUUCAAUAAUCCAUCAAUUUCUUAUUCAAGGGUACCCAUUAGGGCACUUAACCAAGAAAAACUCUCCCGAACCACAUAUCGUAUAAUAAGAUUACCAGUCUAGGCUAGAUCCUUUAUAUAACGUGAGCUCAGAGGAGCUUGAUUAGGAUUACCAGUCCAGGCUAAACCCUAAUCAUAACAUAUACUCGAGAGAUAUUAUAUCGGGAUUACCCGUUCGGGCUAAAACCAUUUUAUAAUGAGGUCAAUAGGAUUACUCGUCUGAGCUAAAUCCCGUCCGCAACAAAUGCAGGACCUCAUCCAUUUCGAGAAAGCACAUAUAUUCAUCAGAAUUCAAUAUUCAAUCGGAACUUAGCCCUUUUUCACCAUUUCAAGCAUGUAUUAAAUUGUCCAUUAUAACAUUUAAGUAAUGCAAUCCAAUAUAAGUCACAUUUCAUACAAGCAUAACAUUCAAUUAACAUAAUUACAUACUCGAUUAAGUUACACGAACUUACCUCGACAUUUGUUCGCGUAAAAGUCUACUAAUCCGAAACCUUUUUUUCUCGAUCAAACCUCGAAUUACUAUUGUCCGGAUCUAUAUAAAUAAAUUUAACCAUAAAUUUCACACAUUUCAUAUUUAAAUGGACUCAAUUUAAGUCCUAAGCAAAAUUACCAUUUUGCCCCUAACUUUUUUCAUAAAUUUUGAUUUUGUCUCUAGGCCCGGAAAAUAAAACUUGUGAAAACUACUCCUUAUUCCAAGCCUAACCAAAGCCCCAUUACAAAUUUUACAGCACAUAUAUUCAUAAAAUUUUAGAAUUUUUCAUCAAAUUUUACAACUUUUCAUUUUAGUCCCUAAAUCAUGUUUUCAUCAAAAAUCACUUUGUAAAAGUUGUUUAUCUAUCAAUAAUCUUUUAUUUUCUACCAUGAAUUUCUAACUUCCAGCAUAUACAUCCAUGACCCAUUUUCAUACCUUGAUAACUUUUCAAAUUAAUCCCUCAAUAGAGAGAUUAACUAUCUUAGUUUCAAAAAAACCAAAAUUACUUAAAACGGGACAAGAGAACUUACCCAAUUAAGCCUUGAAAGUUUCUCCUCUCUCUCCUAGGGUUUCCAUAGGAUUUUAGGUUGAAGAUGACAAUAAUAAGAUGAUAUUUUCUUUUAUCAUCUUUUAAUUAAUUUAAUUAUUUGAAAUUCCAAUUUUGUCCUUGACCUUUUCUAAUUUUUCCAUGGAUGAGUCACCAAGAAUCUACAUAAGGACCUCUAAAUUUGAAUUUCAUAGCUAUUUAAUCAUUAUAGCUACUAGAAUUCAACUUUCACAUUUUAUGUGAUUUAGUCCUUCUCGUAAUUAAACUCUUAAUCGAUAAAAUUUUCAUAAUUUUCACACGACAUGCCUAUUAUAAUACGGACCAUAUAAUGAAAUAAAAAUAAAUCAUAUUUUCGGAUCGGAUCUGUGGUCCCAAAACCACUAUUCCGAUUUCACUAAAAAAUGGGUUGUUACACUUAUGCCUUUGAAUGGUCUCCUACACACUUACUAAGUUCGUUACCAAAUGAGUUUACCAAAGCAUCUUAGGGGUGCACACUUAACGGAAGAGUCCGCCAAACCACAGAUCUUUACCAAGCUAAAAGUUUACCAAAUGGCGCAUACAAAAAAAUUAUAUACUUAAUCAGAAAAAACACUUUACUUACUCAUCUCUACACUUAAUUCACCAAAGCACUUUAAACAACAAUCAUAUACCGAGACUUUGUUGGGUGGGUUGUUACAUGAAUGAUCUUGAGAAUGGUUAUAUGGAUGCCUUGUUAUAUGUUUUGGAAUGCUUUUGUACAAGUUCAAGUGUGCAGUUAUGCACCAAAUAGGCUAUUUGUUUGGUUUGACACAAAAUAGAUAUCAAAGGGCCAAAAUAUUGCCAAAAUUAGGUUCCUUAUCACAACGUCGGCCAACUGCUUGUGACGUCCUGACGUCAAGUGGUCGUCAUCCGAUGUUGUGAUGUAACAUACUGUUUGGUGACGUCCUAACGUGAGAAAGACUCAUCACGACAUUGGCUCUAUACUUUUUAAACAUUGCAAUUUCAGUCUUGUUCAACCUUGGUCGAAUUAAGAGCUUUAAUCUCGAUUGAGACUCGAUUUUAAUGAUAAAUCAUAUUAUGCAUGGAUCUUUGACGGAAACUUAGUGUUUAAAUGAAUUUUGAACUAUAUAUUGCAUGUGACUGCUCUGGUAAUAGUAGUAGCAUCCUGUAGCUCGAGCCCGGUGAACGGGUUGAGCGAUGGGUGUAACACCCCUAACCCGUAUCCAUUGCUGGACUAGGGUUGAAGGCAUUACUAAAAAAAUCGAAACAUUCUACAAGCAAUUCAAUAACAUCAUCCACAAACUUAGUCAAACAUCAUUAUAGAGCCCCUUAUAUAGGUCAACGAGACCUAAAACAUGCUUUAGAAAGGGGUCAAGACUAAACCGAGCUCAUACAAAAUUUUUCAAAACUUAAACAUUUAUUAAAGUCAUACAGGUUACAUGCCCGUGUGUCUAGGCCGUGUCGAAACAGGGCAUACAUAUUGCUUUUUUAUAGGACCACAAGACAUGCCCGUUUGCUUUAGCCGUGGUCGAAACUAACUUGGGUCACACGAGUAGCCACACGUCCAUGUACCAUGCUGUGCUCGAGACUGACUUUAAAUUGUAGGACUACCCCAGGGGACACACGGUCGUGUAACAUGACCGUGUGUCAUACACAGCUGAAACACACGUCCGUGUCUCUGCCCGUUUGGACAAAAAUAGGCCAUUUGAAAAGCCAAUUUGCCACCCAAUUUGGGUCAUACCUACAAGCAUAAAACCAAACACAUUUGCACUAUAAUUUCAGCCAACUUCAAACCCAAAUCAUGCAUCUUCCAUGCCAUUUCAUUAUCAACAAUUUCCACACCUGUAACACAUACCAAAACAUAUCAUUCUAUAAGUAAGAAUCAUAACAAAACAUAUGGUUUAUAAACCUUAAUAUACUCAUUCAAUUUCAUACCAAAUUCUUACCAAUCUUACCAUUUCUAUUGGCCAUUCAUGAACACAUCAAACAUACAACCAUUGCAUCACAUAUCAUAUACCAAAAAUCAUACAUAUACACCACCAAAACCAAGCCAAACCACAUGGCUAGAUAUAUACACUUCACAAAACAUAUCCAAAAACUUCUAGCCUAUACAUGCUAUACUUUAAUAUAUACAUUUUCAAAAGGUACCAAAUAUAGUUCGAUAGUGUGGUGACGAUCCUCGACGAUCCCCAAGCUCCCGAUAGCUACGAUAUCUAUAAAAUAAUGCAAAUACAGACAAAGUAAGCUUUCAAAAACUUAGUAAGCCAUAUACAAAUAAACUUAACACUUUAAACAUAAAAACAUCAUCAAAUUACAUAUACUUCAUAGCCAAAUACUAUCACAAACCUCAAUGUUCAUAUACAUCUCACAUAUUCCAAAUUCUGUAGCACAUAUAGCCUAUUUUCUCAUGCUUUUAUCACAUAUCAACAUUUGUUCACUAGAGUACAUAUACUUACCUUUCAACAUGAAAAAUGAUACUAAUUUUGAACGUACCUGAAUUGGAUAAAUGUUCACAUGAUAAUUCAUUAUCUCGGAAUGGCCGUUGAACCGUUCGGAAUCAUAAGGAUAUGCGGAUAGCUCAGAAAGCUUGUACAAUGCCAAUGUCCCAGAUGUGGGCUUACAUGUAAUCAAAUAUCGAUGCCACUGUCCCAGACAGGGUCUUACAUGAAAUCAAAUACGAUGCCAACGUCCCAGACGUGGUAUUACACGUAAAUCAUAAGUCGAUGCCAACGCCCCAGACAUGGUCUUACACAAAAACACAUAUCGGAUCCUAUGUCAUGACAUAUGUAUCCUAACUAUUCCUAAGGUUCGUACGGGGCUUUUCGGACGUCGAAACUUUGUCGAUAUUUUCUCGGAUAUCUCAUAUUCAAAGCAUAAAGCCAUUCAUUAUUCAUCAAUAACAUAUAAGAAUAAAUAAAUAAUUUCAAAUACAUUUAUUUGUAUAUAGACUUACCUCGUAUGGAUUUGGAUAGACAGAAUCGGCUACUCGACGACUUUCGACUUUCCUCGAUCUAAUUCUGUUUUCUUUAAUUCUUGAUCAAUAUAAAUUCAAAUUUAAAUAUUUUAUUCAUUAAAGCAUUCAGAUCAAUCCACAAACACAUAUUUAGGGAAUUUUAAAAAUUAGCCCUCACAUUGUACAUUUUGACAAUUUAGUCCCUAAUCACAAAAAUCACAAAAUACACAAAAUUUCUUUGCACACAUGCCUAACCGAAUUCUUAUAGUACUCAUACAAGUCCACACAUUUCAUUUAUUUUACAUUUUAGUCCCUCAAAAACUCAUUUUCAUAAUUGAGUCCAUUUUACUGAAAUUCAUCAAAAAUUCAAAGACAAAAUAUACUAACCCAAAACAUAUAUUUCAUUUUCCAUCAACUAACUUCACAAAGCUUACAAAAUCAACAACGAAAUAACUCAAAAUCAUCAUCAAAAUCAGAAAUUGAGACAUGGGCUUGAUAGUAUACAAAACAACGAUUACAAAAACGUAGAAAUUAUCAAAAACCAAUAAAAAACAUACUUUAAUCAAAGAUUAAAAGUGCCGAACCCUAGCUAACUCUUUUUCUUUCUUUUUUUCUUCAAUUUUCGGCAUAAACAAACAUAUAAUGGCCUAUUUUCUUAUUUUGUUUUAUUAAUAUAACUUAAAUUACUAAAUUCCAAUUCUGCCCUUGAUUAAUAACAUAUAAAAACAUUAACAUAUAAGGCCAUUUUAGUCCACUUUCAAUAUAAAUGGCAUAUUAACAACAUAAGGACCUCAUAAUCAAUAAGCCAUAUCAAGUAGACACUUUUAACAAAUAGCAAGCCACUUUUACAUUUUACGUGAUUAGGUCCUUUAUUAAAUCCGACACACAAUUGAUCAAAUUUUCAUAUGAAACUUUCACACAUGUCAAUUCACAUACUUUAAGCACAUAAAAUAAUAUUUAAAUAUUUUUUCUAACUCAAAUUUUUGGUCCUGAAACCACUAUUCCGACUAGGGUCUAAACCAGAUUGUUACAAUGGAUGUUAAUGUAACACUUCUAACCUGUAUCCGUUGCCGGGAUAGGGUUAUGAGGCAUUACCGAUCAAAGCACAACAUAUAAUAUACAUUUCUCAUACAUGAUUCAAUUUCACAUAAAUAUCAAUCUAACAUAUUCACAUUUUCCCUUAUAAGGCUAUACGAGACCUUAAAACAUGCUUAGAAGAGGUUCAGGACUAAGCUGAUAACAUUUGCAAACUUCGGGAAACAUAGAAAAAUUUUCUUGCAUUUAAGGGUCACAUGCCCGUGUGAACAGGCCGUGUGCCUCACACAGCCGCUAGGCACGCCCGUGUCACAGGCCGUGUGAAAAUAGGGCAUACAUACUAACUUGCACCACACGACCGAGGACACGCCUGUGUGCCAUGGCCGUGGGAAAAAUGGAGAGGUUACUGACUUGGGUCACAUGGCCGGCCACACGCCCAUGUGCCACUCACGGCCAGUAGACACGCCCGUGUGUCUAAGUCGUGUAACUCACUGACUUGUUUUAAUUAAGCAUCAGGGGUCACAUGGUUGAGUCACAUGCACGUGUGCUCAACCGUGUGGCACGAAAAUAGGCUUGUUAUAAGCUACUUUUUCCCACUUAAGUCACAUGCAUCCUAAGGCAUCCAAAUGGUACCAAAUAUACAACCAAAUAAGCAACCGAAUGUGACCAUUUCCAGCAUAAAUCAUAUCAUAUUGAAUCAUUACAUUUCACUUCUCAUGUCUCAACCAUUUCUUAAUCAAAACACAUACCAAAACUAGCAUGAAUCAUUAAUAAGCCAUUUCAAAUGACCAUAUACAUUUCUAACAACCAUAUCAAACAGAUCAUAGCCUAUACCUGCCAUAUAACCAAGCCCCAAAGUAUAAAAAUACCAAAAAUCAAUAGCCGGAUAGUGUGAUGCAAUCUCUAUUGACUUCUAACCCGAGCGAACGUUCGAACCACUAUAAACCAUAGAAAAAUAACACAAAAUAAGCUUCACAGCUUAGUAAGUUCGUAUGUUAAUCUAAAAUGAUCACAGCAUUCAUAUAUCAAUUCGAAAUAGAUAAAUUAUUGCCAUUUAAAGCAACAAUUCAUGAGCUAACAUCAAAUUAUUCAUGUCCUCAUUCACGAGUUCUCAACUGCAAAUAACUCGAUACUUGAGUAGUUUUCCGUAAAUACCUAUACUGAUACCAUUCUGUUUAUCACCCAUACUCUUAUCAAACCUCUCUGGUUUAUAAGUGCUUAUGAUACAAAUUCAUCGAUUUUUCGAUGCCAUAGACCAACAAUGGUCAUAUACAUACAUUGCUAAGGCCCUACCGUGGUUUCUCUUUCACGUGCCAUAUGUAUAUUUAGUUAGAACAACUAUAACUCAUAUCUCACAUAUCAUUCAAUUUAUACUUCGUUAUAGCCAAAUAAACACAUUUUGACAUGAAACAUACUUAUACACAAUUCUUUCUUAUUUAAUAUACAUGAUACAAUAUGAACUCGCCAAUUUACUUUCAUUCGAUUCUCACGUAGGUUCUAUACGUACUUGUAUUACUUAUUUCCAUCGUACUUUCAUUGUCGUCUUGACUAUUUCAGAUAUCACAUAAAGCUCAUACAAUGCCAUAUCCCAGAUGUGGUCUUACAUAUUAUAUCAUAUUGAUGCCAAUGUCCCAGACAUGGUCUUACACAAAAUCAUAUAACGAUGCCAAUGUCCUAGACAUGAUCUUACAUGUAAUCACAAUAAAAUGCCAAUGUCCCAAACAUGGUCUUACAUGUAAUCUCAUCUCGGAAAUCAUAAUGUGAUGACAUUUGUAUCUUAUACUAUUCCUAAGGUUCAUACGGGACUUUCGGACGUCGUAUCUCUGUCGUUUCCGGCUCAUAAUCAUGACCAUUCAGCAUUCAAUUCAAUUCAAUUCAAUUCAAUAAUAAAUAUGCAUUUGUAACAAAACUUAAUUACCUUUAUUAGCAUACGAACUUACCUUGUUUGCUAUAACGACGAAUUAGGUCGACUAAUCCAAUACUUUAUUUUCCCCCGUUCUAGAUCCGAAUCUCAUUUUUCUCAAUCUAUAUAAUAACAAAAUUUAUUUAUUUAAUCAUUAAUUCAUUCAAUUUAACACAAUUUACACAUUUUGGUAAAAUUACACUUUUGCCUUAUUAUUUCACAUUUUUGCAAUUUAGUCCGUAUCACAUAAAAUUGCAAAUUCAUACAAUUAAGGAUAAGCCCAUGCUAGAAGAAUUCUAUAUGGGUCCCUAGCAGCCCAUAAUUAGUAAUCAUUCACACAUUUGACCACACAAUUUUCACAUUUAUCAAUUUAAUCCAAAAUUGACAUUUUUACUAAAAAUCACUUUACAAAACAUGUAAAACUAUCAUCAAAAUUUCAUAUUUCAUCAUCAAACAUCAAUUAACACAUGUAUUCAACAAUGGAAACUAUCAAAAUCUUUAAAAAUUUUGAAAUCAGAGGUACGGGCUAGCUAGAUUACGAAGCAACGAUCUAAAAAACGUAGAAAUUAUUAAAAACCGAGCAAAAACCACUCACCCAUUAAUCUUAAAAGCUUGGCGGAAUAUAACUUCAUCCAUAGCUAUUUUUCUUCAUGCAUUUUCGAUGGUGGAAACUAAAUGGUGAAGAUGACACCAUGUUUUUAUUAUUUAACUAAAUUUAUUUCAUAAUUACCAUUAUAACCUUAUUAAUUAACCUUGUAAUUUUCAUUAAUAAAGCACAUAACUAAAUUUAUUUCAUAAUUACCAUUCAUAAUUCCAAUCGGUUAAUUACCACCUAAAACCCUCAAAUUUGAAAUUUCAUAACUAUUUAAUGCUUUUAGCUUAUAGAAUUCAACUUUUACACCUUACGCGAUUUAGUCCUUUUUACCGAAUUAAGCCUUUAAACGGUAAAAUUUAUUUAUAAAAUUUUUACAUAAUAAUUCUACCAUACUGUAAACCAUAAUAAAAUAUUAAAAUAAAUAUUUUAACUUCGGAUUUGUGGUCCUGAAACCACUGUUUUGAUUAACCCUAAAAACAGACUGUUACAGUUAAAAUAUAGAUGUUUUGUAUUCGGUUAACUUUGAAUAAUAGCAUAGAUGAAAAUCUAUUUUAUGUAUGAUUUUUCCUAAUAGUAAUUAUUUUUCAGAAGAUAUGUUUUUAGUACAUGGUUUGAGUUGUGAUUAUGAUAUUUGAAAUGGUAAUAUUGGAUGUGAAUUGAUAAUGAUAAAGAUGGUAAAUGGUUAAUGGUUGAUAUGUAUACUUUGAUAAAGGAAUUAUAUGUUUAUAGGCCAUGUAGAUGUUAUAAGUUGACAUGUUUGGGUAUGAAAUUGAAGUAACUUUGUGCAGGUAAAAUUGUGUAUUGUGCACCUAAUGAAUGAAUUUUAAUGUAAUCACGAAGUAGAUUCCAAAUGGCCUAAUUAGUACCAAAAACAGAGUCUACUUCGCGACAUCAAGUGAUGGUCGUCGCGACAAGCUCUAAACUUUAGGUCACAGUGUGAUGAGAAAUCUCGUCAUCACAACGAGCCCAUGUCAGCAUCUUAUGUCGCAAUGUCUUCAUCGCGACGUCGACCCAAAAUUUUGAAUCUUUUACAAAUUGGCCUUUACUUGAUCUUGGGCCAACUUUAGUGUAUGUAGGCUUGUAUAAGACCCCGAAAAGAUUAUAUAUCAUGUCUAUGGUUUGAAAUGUUUAUGUUUGCAUGUAUUAUGCCUUGAUUUGAAUGUUAAAUGUUUGUAGUUGCUCCAAUAAUGAAUGAGGCAUCCUAUAGUUCGAAUCCGAUGAUUGGGUCGCGUAAGGGGUGUUACAAAACAACUAAAAAUCAUAUAUCUAAGAAUUGAACACAUGUUUAAUAAAUUCUAUAAUGCAAUUUUUUACCACUUCACCUAUUAUCAUUGUUGAAUUUUUUUUUUCAAAAAAUUUACAUAAAAUGUUUUAUUUUACUCACAUCAUGAGUGUGACAUAAUGUAAUAUAAUCUAUGCUAUUAAUUAAACCCCUAAUUGAGUUGGUGUCACGGGUUAACCAAGUCACCAACUCAACUAGAAAAUGACUAAUAUACACUUUCAUUAAAUGGCUAAUAUUAUUAUUUUGAUAAUUUUUUUUGCCUUAUCAUAUUUUUAUAUGGUUUUUAAGUAAAAGAACUAAAAUUAACAUAUCUAGGGAUUAAACCCAUGUUUAAUGGAUUAUCCAACAAAUUUUUUACCACCGCACCAACAUUAAUUCUUAAGUAAACUUUUUUUUUUAAAAAAAAGAACUUUUAACAUAAAAUGUUUUCUUUCACAACAUUUGUGUAUAUAAAUAAUGUUACUGGUUGCGUUGGGGUCACAAGUUAAACUCGAUAUUUAAUUUUUUUUAAAUAAUUAAAUUUUUUCACUAACUUGAUAAUGUUUUGACGUGCUAUAGAAAAAUGACAAUAUCAUGAUAAAUAAUUGGAGCGCAUUUAAUAGUUUAAAUAUAAUGUAUUUACCUAUUUCAAUUUUCUUUUACUCACAAGUUUAAUUAUUUUUUAUUUUACAUAUUGCAUGUGUUAUUAUUAUUAGUUUCAAACCUUACAUUUCACUAUUUAUUAUUUGUUGUGUUUAAAUACACAUUUGUGUUUUAAAUAUGUGGUUUCCACACGCAUUUACGUGUGAUAGGAUUUCUAAUUUAUAUAACUUUUACAUAUUUAUAUAUAAAUGUGACAUAAUAAUAACAUAAGAUUUUUAAAUAUACUUAAUUGUUGCUUUUUGAAGUAUAGCUUUUGCUUAGAGAUUAAGAAUAAUAAAUCUAUUGUUGAAUUCCUUUUUAAGCUAAAUGUUCAAAUUGGGGCUCAACCUUUUAGAGGCUACUCACAUAUGAAUUAGACCUUUCAAAAUGGUCGAGUAAUGGGCUAACCUUUUUGAAAUUGCUCAAAUAGGGGCUUCUCAAAUGUCGUAUAUUAGGUUCUAAAUUAUGUUCCGACUUCUUUCAUUUCUUUUCAAGCAAUAUUUGAUUGAAAUGUUAUGUGUUUUAUUCUAAACACAUUAGCAUUUAUCUAAUUUUUCUACAAAUUAGGUUGAAGCAUGCAUAAAGUCCUUGUUUGAGUGUUUCUAUAACGGUAAAGGUUCCAUUAUUUGACCAUUUUAAAAGGUUUAUCUCUUAUGUGAGUAACUUUUUACCCUUCCAUUUAUAUGUUUAUGUCAAUUGUUAGAGUAUAUUAUACUUAUAUCUCAAAGGUAUUAUUUUCUUGUUAGAGUAUAUUGUACUUAUAUCAUAAAGGUAUUAUUCUCUUGGUAUCAUCUUUGUUCAAAUGAUUGUUAUAUCCAAUGCUUUUUAAACUGGACCGGUGAUCGAACUAGUUAGCCUAUUAGUUCGUCGGUCCAAUCGAUUUGAUUAAAAAUUAUUAAAAAUUCUAAACAAUUAAAAAUUUUGGUUUAAUCAUCGGUUUGAUCAAUUUUUUAGUCGGUUUAUAUUGGUUGACGAUCUAGCCGGUUCAAAGCCACUCUCUAGAUUGACUCUCAACUGAUUCUCGAUCGAACUACCGAUUUGAUCUGAGUUAAACAACACUGAUUAUAUCCUAAACAUGGUGAGUUGAAUCCUAUAACUAGGGGUGAGCAAAAGUCGAGUCAAUUAAAAAAAUCGAAUUUCGAGUUAAUUGAAUCUAGUUGUUCGAGUUAAUUGAGUCAACUCGAAUAAGUAAUUCAAGUUUCGAGUUCUAGUCGAGUUGAAUUUUACAAUUCAAAUAACAGAUUGGUGUAAAUACCCCUUUAGUCCCUGUCAAUUUUGAAAAUGAGCAAAUUGAUCUCUCUUUUAACAAAAAUUAUAAAGCUUCAAAAUAAUUUUAAAAAAAUUCAAAAUAUUUGUAAAAAUUCAAAAAUUUAUAUUUCUUAAUAAGAUUAUAAAAUUUUUAGAUUUCUAAAAUUGAUAUUUCUUAAUAAGUUUAUCAUACUAAUUUUUUAGUUUUUAUUUUGAAAAAGUUUUCAAAUAUACAUACUUUCAAAAUUGAUGAACUUGAAUAAUUUUAUUGGAUUAAAAAAAAAUUUCAAGUAGAAUUAGGAUGAUAAAAUAGGACUCGUUAAUUCAAUUAACUCAUUUUUUUUUCAAUCAGUUCGAAUCGAAUCAAUCGAACACUCACAUGAAACUUAGUACAAUAAAAUUUGAUGAUGGUUCUUAUUUUUUAUCCCCUUUUAGAGAUAUCCUAAUUUAGAGAAUAAAACUUUGAUGUUGCAUUAAUCCUUCAACGACCUCUUUAACAAAGAAUUGAAUAUUUAACACUAAGUAAUUAUUUUUUUUAAUUUUAUAAUUUGAAAGUUUUUUGAAUUUGUUUAGAAUAUUUAUCAUCCAUGUCACAAUCAACGAAGAAAGCCAAAGUUUAACAAGCAACCCUUAUUGUACAAAAUUUAUCCAUGUUAAAUGCUUUACCAUUAAAAUUAAAAACCUAAAAACUUUGGGACGUGUAUAGCAGGGAAACCUGAAAGUGAUUUGCAUAUUUUCACUCAAUUUGAAGAAAGAGUAAAGUACUGAUGGAAUAUAUUUUCAUAAUCAUCAAUUUUCUUUUUUAAAAAAAAAUCUAAAUGAUAUCUAAUCAAGUAUAAAUUUUAGAAGAAAUAAAAAAAUGAUGAACAUUUUUCAACUUUCUCUAAUAUUUACUUUCGCCUGAUAUUAAUAGGGAUUAAUGAAGCAUUUGGAAGCCUGUGUUAGAACAAUUCUGGAAGGAAAGGCCUCUGUUCAGGCUUGGAGGCUAGUCAAUUUCUAGAUUUUCUUUUACAGCUUAGAAGUGUCAUUUCAAUUGAUAAUUCAUUGGAAAAAGAACAAAAAGUUUGGCUUUCCAAUCCAUAUGUCUGCCAGUUAAACGAAAACUGUACAUAUUUUAGAACAGUGUGUAUGUAUAUAUAUAUAUAAGAUGCAAUCUAAAUCAGGAAAAUGUUGAUUAACCCGAAAAAGCUAACAGAUGAAAAAAGAUUCCCAGUUUUUCAAUACUGUCAUCGUUUGGAAGAGUCUCAUAACACAGGCUUGGAUAGCAAAAUAAAAGAAGAAGGAAAAAUGAAACUCUAGGCUGACAGUACAUGUAUCAACCAGUGUGUUUCAAUUUCCCCCAUAAGAGCAUUCCUUUGUGACAGUUCUUCGCUUUGUGACUUGUCUCGUUUAGACCCAAAAAACCUUGAUGCUUGCUUCCUUUAUAGAGUUACAGACAGGACAAGCUUCGAGGAAAGUUUCACAAGACUUGCACGAGCAAAGGUGUCUACAUGGUAGAAACACGACGCACGAGCUCCUAGCAUUGCAGUGUUUGCAAGCCAUCUUAUUAUUACUAUUGCUCUUUUGUUUCACUUCUCCUUCUUGUUGAUCUCUGAAAAGUGAUUCUGCAUCCUCUGGUGCAUUGCUGACCCAGACUAGGCUCUCCCUCGCUUGUUCCAGUUUGUUGUUGAGAUCCAUGAUCAUUGCUUCCUUUGCUUUAGCAAGGUUUUGCCAUGAAUGACUCUCCGUUUCCGCUUUUCUUAGUGAGGCUUCGAGCUCCAUUGUUUUCUUUGUUGCUCGAGCCAAGUCUUCUUCCUUUUGCCUUAUCAAAUGCAUGGCCUUUGAUUCUAUACAUUUUAGCAGGAUGGCCGAUUGUCGUUUUCUUUGCUCACGUAAAGCAGAUCUUAGCCUCUCAUUCUGGAUUUUCUCCGUCCAUGAUAGAAUAUUAAAAGAAAUGGCAAAUUUUCAGUUACAAAAAAAAAAAAACAAGAACUUUGAUCAAAUAGCCGAUAAUAAAAAAAAUAUACGAAAAUAAUAAAGUUAUGAUGAAUUCUUGCCUGCAAUCGAAGAACGCAAUCAAGCUCCUGUCUUUGCAUCUCCAGUUGAGCAUCCAACGAUUGUGAAAGAGCCACAGAGACGAAAGCAUUAGCUGCGGAAGAGGAAGAAGAAGAAGAAGCAACAGCCAAAUUGUGAGCGUUUUGUUGCAGAUGAAAAGGAAGCGUAUAUCGAGAAGGGUCUUGAAGAGUGAAAUACGAGGAAGGAAUUAGAGCAGGUGCAGGGUUUACCAUCCAAUCCUGAACACCGCACAUAUUUUCAGCAUACAAAGGUGCUUGAACAGCCAUGGUAAAGCAACAACCCUUUGGCCCUUGUGAAUUCACAUAAAUAGAGGAGUAUAUUAAUAAGAAAAGCAGAAAGGGUAGGUUCAAAGGUUGAAGGCUGAGGCUCCUAUAUCAGGAGAGAUGCAUGACCUUCUCUCUCUAUCUUUCUUAAUUGGCAUAUAAGCUUUUUGGGCUUUGUUUGUUGCUUAGGUUUUUAUGGUUAAACUGAAAUAGACCAUCAUCAUCAUCAUGAAAGAACGAAAGCAAAGAAAGAAACUCGUGGAUGGUUAUAAGUCGAGUGAGGAAACCGACAAAAUCUUUAACAUUUUCACUUUUAAAACAGAUAUAUUCAUUAAUGAAUAGGAGAUUUUAUGGGACAUUAUUUGUUUGUAAAUGACGUAUCUAAAUAAGGGAAAAUAAAGGAUACGAGGAGAGAAAUGCAAACGACGCCGUACACAUGCAGCUUUCUCACAUUCACUCAUUUGGGACCUUAAAAUAGAGUGAGACGUUUUGGAAGGGAGGGAAAUCAGAGAUUGGGGAUAUUGUAUCUAUGUGGUCGGUUCCAAACGAUAAAGAUAUACGGAUUUUGGGUUAUAAUUUUAUAAUUUUAAGAUUCUAAUUUUAAUUUAAUAAAUGCUGGUUAUAGAUUAUUAUUUUCACGUAGAUUAAAUAGUUUUUAUAUGUUAAAUUAAAUAAUAAAUUAAUUUUUAUGUUAAGAAUUUUAUAUAUUAAUAAGAGUUAUAAGUUACAUUAUUUAAUUAUUCUCUUAAUUAGGUUAGUUUUUAACAAUAUAAAAAAAUAAAUUAAUUUAUUAUUAUUUUCUAUCUUACAGAAAUUAAUAUAAUUUAAAACUAAAAUUUUAAAUUUUAAAAAUAAAAAAUUAAGAUUACAAGUUAUCCAUAAUACAAAAGAGAUUUUUUAGAAAAAAUAAAAUAAAGGUUAAUUUUGACCCUUUUGAUAUGCAAUUCAUUUCAAAUCGCCCUUGGUGCCAAGUGGCCAUGUUAAAGCCCCGAGAUUAACGGGUAUGUGUCCCUGUUUGAUAUUAUAGGCGGAAAACGUCACCUCAUGGAGCUGCCACUCUGCUCCGGGCAUCAAGAUCCAUGAAGAGUUUGGUUGCAAGGCAAGGCGUAAACUUGACUUGGUUUUUCAAUUCUAAUGAUAACGCCUAUAUUAAUAUGGGGCAUCCCGCAGUUUCCAUUUCCAACUACAAUCGAGUGAGAGAGGUGAUAACAGUUGGGGCCAGCGCUCUCCUGCCGUAUCCGGUCAUCCACAUAAUGGAACCCACGAUCGCACUGCCGUGAUAACCCAUCUUCAGUCGACUUUUCUUGAUAUGAUUGAUGGUAGCCCAAAUUUAUAAAAAUAAAUAAAUAAAGUAGCUCAAUUGACGAUGACAGACAACGUUUUAACAGCGAGAAAGCACGAGUGUUUUCAGUUUUUACCUUCCUUCGCUAUGACGCUCUAGUAUCUUUAAGUAGCCCAAAAAGGCUGAUAAGGUUCAUAAGUGCAAUAGAUAGUUAAAUGAGAUUGUAGCUUUAAAGGAGGGCAGCUGCAGCAGAAGCCAGAGGGACGAUAACAAAACCCUCUUUUUUAGAAAAAAAAAUAGAGGUGGAGUACGGAUCCAUUAAUAGUGCACGGCGGUAUUUUGGCAAUGAUAUUAUCGAAGUAGUCUAAAUACAUAUAAAGUUUGCUUUGCCCUCUGUCCCUGACCAAAAGUUUAAGGCUAAUGAAGAAAGCUAAGCUAGUUCAGCAGUUAACUGAAAUUCGUCUUUAAUGUGGAAGUUUGCUACUAACAUAAUUAUCAUCCUUCUUUUCCAUACAAUGGCAAUGUUAAAUUGUAGCACCCCAAACCCGGCUCAGACGUUAUGGUCGGAUUCGACAUGCCACAUCGAAGCGUUCAAAACAUUUUAUAUUAUUGAUCCAGAAAAACUUAUUUAGUGUUUUAAAAAAUAAUUUCAUUAUAGGUUAAAGUGAAUGGAAGCUGUGCACCAGGUAGGAAACUGGAAAAGAGGUGGUGAGUCCAUCGGACUGCUUAAGUACCAAGCUCCCUUCGGAUCCAAUCCUAGACAUGCAUACCGCCAUUGCCACACCUUAACACCAUGGAUAUUUCUAGGAAACCGAUUUGAUUAAGUCAUUUUUAGGAAAAGUGAUUAAUUUUAGAAAAUACUUUCAUUGCGAAAGCUUUGCUUGUUGUCGUGUUAUUUUGAAAUCAAUUGUUGUUUUUGAAAACGCGCCCUAAAGCUAUCCAAUUUCAACAGUUAAAAUAAGUAAUACCCAUCUUAGUAAUACAUAUUAAAACCAUCAAAAAUAAUUAAGCGGCCUUAUUACAUUUAAAAACCCAAAACUUCAAACGUAAAUAAAAGGAUGUCCAGUUCACCAGAAGAAAAUCAAACUUUCAGAACGGGUGGCCACUCCGAAUUCCCUCACAGCUCCAAGCCCACUAUGGUUGGGGAUUUCCUGCGUGGAUGAAAAUAAAAGGGGUGAGUUUGGAGAAAGUGUGUAAGGAAAACCCAUUCAAAGCCCAAGUCAGCUCAAGCCUAUUGGGCCUAAGCCCAUUCAGGUAAUAGUGGUACUGGGCUAGAGCCCUUUUUCGAUUACAAUAAACUGGGCCUUAGCCCCUUAUUCAGAUAACAGUAUGGCCCAUAGGCCCAUUUGGAAAUACAUGCAACAUCAAUAACAUAUGCAAGCCCAUUUGGGAAGACUACUCAACCCACCAACCACUACACUCCACCCGUACCAGCCAUACACUCCAUGUGGGGAAUAGCUCAACCCACCCAGCCCAACACUCUACAGUUGUAGCCUUACUGCUCAGUUAACAGUAAAUUGAGGCAAAGCCUCCAGUAUGUGGACAAGCCACUUUCAGUACUUCCUCCGUCAAUAUCCCAAUCCCAUGCAUCAGAUAAUAACAACAUGGCAUGCAGUAAAUAACAAUAGUCAAACAUGCAUUUAGGUCAAUUUAACCCUAUGGGUAUUUCGGUAAUUUAUCUACUAGGGGUAGAACUGUAAAAUUUCCACUUUUAAAGGUAUUUCAGUAAUUUAUCUAUUUUAGGGUUUUUCAUGCAUAUUCCUACCUUUCACGUACUAACAGAAUUACUACCGAGGGUUCUUACCAAAUUGGGCCCGUUGGCCCAUCAUUCCAAUUUUGGCCCAUUAAGCCCAAAAAUAUCGAGGGCACAGAAAUCAUGCACUUUGCAGUCCAAACAUUGCAGCUUAUCAAAAACAUUAAUCGAUUUACCUCACGAGCAUUCGCACACUCGCAAAUCUACAAAAUACCGGUUUUCGGCAUUUUGGCUUUUCGACUUUUUCCGAUCUAGACUAAGAAAGAGGGUGUUAGUUACACACCUGUUUGCAACGAUAUGCUGACGAGAUCUACACACGAACUGCCUACAAUUGGAUUACUAACACGUUAAUCUAACUAUUCAAAUACAAACUACGUAUUAACCCCUUACAAUAUUCGGCCAACCACACCUACAGAUCAUAGUAAGCUUAUAAGAAAUCAAUAAGUAACUCAUUAACAAAUUUUUGUCAAUGUUUACCACAUAAUCAUAAUUUCACUGCAAGCUGUCUUCUUGAGCAACAGUCACUAAAUUAUUUAUAACUGGAGCUACGAAACUCCAAAUCAAGUGCCGUUAAUUUUCCAUGAAAAUAGACUCAUAUAUCUUCUAUCCAUAAAAUUUUCAGAAUUUUUGGUAUGGCCAAUCAAUACCAGAUUUUUCUUAAAGUUUCCCGUGUUUCACUGUUUGACUAAUCUGACCACUCUUCAUUUCAAAUCAAAUUUCUCAUUGUACAGAAUUCAAAAUAUAUUCUCGUUUAUUUCAUUUGAAACUAGACUCAUUAAGCUUUAAUUACAUAAUUUAUUCAGCUUCUAAUUCUUCUCCCACAAUUUAUGGUGAUUUUCCAAAGUCACGUUACUGCUGCUGUCCCAAGCAGAUUUAUUACCAAAUCACUCUUUCACACAUACCUUGCAUGCAUGUUUUUUAAACAUGUAUAUCACCAAUCAAUCAUCACAUAUCUAUGAUUUUACUUAAGUAUAAUCUCCAUUUCAUCAUUUUAAAGCACAACAUGUUAGCUGAUUUUUCCCUUUAACAUCUAAGGCACAUGCAUGCUCAUUUGUUUGGUUCAACUUCACCUAUCUUCCAUUUUUCAUCAAAAGAACAUGAAAGAACAACCAUUUCCUUCAUUUUAAUUCAUGACUAAAUGCUCACAACACAACUAAAAACCAAAAUAUGCUUCAAGAGUUAAGGUAGAAUCAAGAUGAACUCAUGAACCUCAAAAUAAGAAGCAAGGUACCAAGAACUUACCUUCAAUUUUCCUCCUCCUAAUGACCGAAUACUCAAGAGCUUUCUCCUCUCCUUUCUCUUCUCUAACUUUCAGCUAUGAUGAACAAAGAUGGACAAAACUUUGUUCUUUUCACCCCUUUUUCUUUUAAUAAAACUUCAUAUUUCAUCCAUUUAAUUCUUUAAUACAAAAGACAUGAAAUUCUUAUCAUGAAACAUUUACCUAACCCAUUAUCAUGAAACAUUUACCUAACCCAUUAUCAUGGAACAUUUACCUAACCUAUUAUCAUGGAACAUUUACCUAACCUAUUAUCAAUUUGUAUCAAUUUGUACCAUAAAUUAUGGAUAUCAAGUGUACAUUUUGUCUACAACAACAUGAUGGCUGGCCACUUCAUGUAAAAUGGAAGGUUUGUCAUGCAAAUCCUCUUAUUUUGCACUCCUAUUUAUUUGGCCACUUCAAUUUAGCCUAUAGCAUUUUUAAACAUUUUCACAUAGGUCAUAUUUCAUAAUUUCACUCCCUUUUUCUUAUGGAACAAAAAUUAACUAAAAUUACCGGGUUCUAUCUUAAGCUUAGGCCUUCUAGAGGCCCACUAACAUAAUUAAACCUAUGCCAACAUUCACAGGAUUCUCGAAAAUUGGGGCGUUACAACUCUACCCUCCUUAAAGAAAUUUCGUCCUCGAAAUUUACCUAAUCCAAACAGAUGAGGGUAUUGCUGUUGCAUCGUCUCUUCUGGCUCCCAAACUCAGAAGUUUCCCCUUCCUUAACUUGUUGAAAACGAGCGACCAAAGACUCACCGUUCAACUAUUUUUUUUCCUUAAUCUGAUCCACCCAGGUUGGCCUCACUUGCAACUCAGCCAACAGACUUCCAUCAUCAUACAGACUCAGACGAGAAAAUAUUGCUCUCAGAUCAGAUACAGCUCUACGACUUAGAGCAUCGGCUACCACAUUAGCAUUGCCUAGGUGAUACUCGAUCGAACAAUCAUAAUACUUAAGUAACUCAAUCCAUCUCCUUUGCCUAAGGUUCAGCUCCUUCUGAGUCAACAAAUACUUAAGACUCUUAUGGUCAGUGUAUAUAAUACACCUUUCUCCGUACAAGUAAUGUCUCCAAAUCUUAAGUGUAAAUAUCACUGCUACCAACUCUAAAUCAUGAGUCGGAUAGUUCCCCUCAUAAGGCUUAAGCUGUCGUGAUGCAUAUGCAACCACCUUACCCUCUUGCAUUAACACGCAGCCAAAACCCACAUGUGAUGCGUCACUGUACACACUAAAAUGCUUCCCAGACUCCGGCUGAAUCAACUCAAGUGCUUCAGUCAGAACUUUCUUCAACUUCUCAAAAGCUUCCUGCUGCUUCUUAGUCCAUAUAAACGGUACUCAUUUCCUUAUGAGUUUUGUCAAAGGUGCUGCCAUCACAGAAAAACCUUCUACAAACCUUCUGUAGUAUCCUGCCAGUCCUAGGAAACUCCGUAUUUCCGAUACUGACCUAGGAGGCUUCCAUUCCAAAAUCGCUUCAAUUUUCCGAGGGUCCACUUGAAUCCCCUCAGCAGAGACCACAUGUUCUAAGAAAGUUACCUCCCUCAACCAAAAUUCACACUUGCUGAACUUCACAAAGAGUUCCUUCUCCCUUAAUACUUACAGCACUAUACGGAGAUGCUCAUCAUGUUUCGUUUUAGUUUCAGAAUAUACCAGGAUAUCGUCAAUAAAGACGACUACGAAUUGAUCUAAAAAUGGUUGGAACACAUGAUUCAUCAGAUCCAUAAACGAUGCACGUUCGUUAGUCCAAAUGGCAUAACCAGAAACUCGUAAUGACCAUACCGAGUCCUAAAUGUCGUCUUAUGGAUAUCUACCUCCUUGACCCUUAACUGAUGAUAUCCAGAUCGAAGGUCGAUCUUGGAGAAUACAGAAGCUCCUCUAAGCUGGUCGAACAGAUCGUCAAUCUUUGGCAGUGGAUACUUAUUCUUAAUCGUCAGUUUGUUCAACUAGCGAUAAUCAAUGCACAUCCGCAUUACCAUCCUUCUUUUUCACGAAUAGCACCGGUACUCCCCAUAGAGACAUGCUUGGCCUAAUAAAAUCCCUAUCCAACAACUCUUGAAUUUGAGCCUUUAACUCCACUAACUCCUUCGGUGCCAUCCUAUACGGUGCGAUGGACACGAGCGCCUUUCCAGGCAAUAAAUCUAUUCCAAACUCAACUUCUCAGUUUGGAGGCAAUCUUGGAAGCUCCUCCAGAAAAACAUCUUGGAACUCCUUUAUGGUCCUAACCUUAUCCACUUUCAGUCCCUCCUCUUCCGAUUGACUUACAAAUGCCAAAUAGACCUCAUAACCUUUCCGAAUCCACUUUUCGGCUCUUAAUGCCUACACCAUAUUGGACAAAUAAUCCCUUCGCUCACCUAUCACCAUAACCUCCUCAUCCUUUCUGGUCAUUAACACCAUUCGUUUAGCAGCACAAUCCAGAGUCGCUUUAUGCUUAACAAGCCAGUCCAUUCCCAAAAUGAGAUCAAACUCUCCGAACAGUAACUCCAUCAGAUCUCUAGGGAAAAUCUUACCUUGAGUUUCUAAGGGUACAUCCCUAUACAGUUUGUCUACCCUAACCGAGUGACCCAAAGGACUUAGUACAGAUACCCCACUCACAAUCUCCUCAGAGCAAUCCAAGUCGUCCAUAAUCCGUUCUGUGGCCUCCAACCAAUAUUCCGCCACAUUUGGGGCUAUACCAGACACGCCCCUAAAGAUCUCCACUCCGUUAGUCCGAAGUCAUUCAGAAAUAGAUCCCCGAACUCCAUUACCCGCACUUACCCCGGCAACCCUUUCCAGAACACGAAGCAUUGCUUGUGACAGGGCAUCAUCCCCGGUACCGCGGUCAUGAGACUCUACCUCUGUUGUCGGUGGUACCGGUGCAUCCACCGCCGGCAUAUAUCCUGAAGACGAAGAUCUCGCUCGAGCACUUCCUCGAAUCCGUCCAUAGCCUCUUGUACUCAUAUCGUAUUAUUUUGAUUAUGAAUUUUUAUGCAUCAAUUAAUAUUCCAGUGUUUAUUAUAGAUAUUUUAUGAAUCAGACAGUAGUUCAGAGUUUGUUUUCGCAGAAUCGAAGUCUAGCUACAGUUUCAGUCUCUUAUCAGAUUUUCCUAUGGUUUCAGUAUCAUCCUAUUUAGAGAUCUUAAUAGGGUUUUAGUACAGACAGAUAAUUCAGGAAAAUAUUCAGAAAAAUUUAGAAUACUUACAGACUUGAGCCGGAGAUUCGGAAUGCCACCUUCUAAAGAUUUAAAUUCUGAAAAUCGAGUUUUUCGCAUUCUUUAUAAAAUUUUCACUUUCGAAAAUCUUUGUUUUUGUAAACCCAUUCCACAGCCGAGUUGUUGCAACCUAGGCUCUGAUACCACUAAAUGUAACACCCCAAACCCGGCUCAGACGUUAUGGUCGGAUCCGACAUGCCACAUCAAAACGUUCAAAACAUUUUAUAUUGUUGAUCCAGAAAAACUUACUUAGUGUUUUAAAAGAUAAUUUCAUUAUAGGUUAAAGUGAAUGGAAGCUGUGCACCAGGUAGGAAACCGGAAAAGAGGUGGUGAGUCCAUCGGACUGCUUAAGUACCAAGCUCCCUUCGGAUCAAUCCUAGACAUGCAUACUGCCAUUGCCACACCUUAACAUCAUGGAUAUUUCUAGGAAACCGAUUUGAUUAAGUCAUUUUUAGGAAAAGUGAUUAAUUUUGGAAAAUACUUUCAUUGCGGAAGCUUUGCUUGUUGUCGUGUUAUUUUGAAAUCAAUUGUUGUUUUUGAAAACGCGCCCUAAAGCUAUCCAAUUUCAACAGUUAAAAUAAGUAACACCCAUCUUAGUAAUACAUAUUAAAACUAUCAAAAAUAAUUAAGCGGCCUUAUUACAUUUAAAAACCCAAAACUUCAAACGUAAAUAAAAAGAUGUCCAGUUCACCAGAAGAAAAUCAAACUUUCAGAACGGGUGGCCAUUCCGAAUUCCCUCACAGCUCCAAGCCCACUAUAGUUGGGGAUUUCCUGCGUGGAUGAAAAUAAAAGGGGUGAGUUUGGAGAAAGUGUGUAAGGAAAACCCAUUCAAAACCCAAGUCAGCUCAAGCCUAUUGGGCCUAAGCCCAUUCAGGUAAUAGUGGUACUGGGCCAGAGCCUUUUUCAGAUUAUAAUAAACUGGGCCUUAACCCCUUAUUCAGAUAACAGUAUGGCUCAUAGGCCCAUUUGGAAAUACAUGCAACAUCAAUAACAUAUGCAGGCCCAUUUGGGGAGACUACGCAACCCACCAACCACUACACUCCACCCGUACCAGCCAUACACUCCAUGUGGGGAAGAGCUCAACCCACCCAGCCCAACACUCCACAGUUGCAGCCUUGCUGCUCAGUUAACAGUAAAUUGAGGCAAAGCCUCCAGUAUGUGGACAAGCCACUUUCAGUACUUCCUCCGUCAAUAUCCCAAUCCCAUGCAUCAGAUAAUAACAACAUGGCAUGCAGUAAAUAACAAUAGUCAAACAUGCAUUUAGGUCAAUUUAACCCUAGGGGUAAUUCGGUAAUUUAUCUACUAGGGGUAAAACUGUAAAUUUUUCACUUUUAAAGGUAUUUCAGUAAUUUAUCUAUUUUAGGGUUUUUCAUUCAUAUUCCUACCUUUCACGUACUAACAGAAUUACUACCGAGGGUUCUUACCGAAUUGGGCCCGUUAGCCCAUCAUUCCAAUUUUGGCCCAUUAAGCCCAAAAAUAUCGAGGGCACAGAAAUCAUGCACUAUGCAGUCCAAACAUUGCAACUUACCAAAAACAUUAAUCGAUUUAUCUCAUGAGCAUUCGCACACUCGCAAAUCUACAAAAUACCAGUUUUCGGCAUUUUGGCUUUUCGACUUUUGCCGAUCUAGACUAAGAAAGAGGGUGUUAGUUACACACCUGUUUGCAACGAUAUGCUGACGAGAUCCACACACGAACUACCUACAAUUGGAUUACUAACACGUUAAUCUAACUAUUCAAAUACAAACUACGUAUUAACCCCUUACAAUAUUCAGCCAACCACACAUACAGAUCAUAGUAAGCUUAUAAGAAAUCAAUAAGCAACUCAUUAACAAAUUUUUGUCAAUGUUUACCACAUAAUCAUAAUUUCACUGCAAGUUGUCUUCUUGAGCAACAGUCACUAAAUUAUUUAUAACUGAAGCUACGAAACUCCAAAUCAAGUGCCGUUAAUUUUCCAUGAAAGUAGACUCAUAUAUCUUCUAUCGAUAAAAUUUUCAGAAUUUUUGGUAUGCCCAAUCAAUACCAGAUUUUUCUUAAAGUUUCCCGUGUUUCACUGUUUGACUAAUCUGACCACUCUUCAUUUCAAAUCAAAUUUCUCAUUGUACAGAAUUCAAAAUAUAUUCUCGUUUAUUUCAUUUGAAACUAGACUCAUUAAGCUUUAAUUACAUAAUUUAUUCAGCUUCUAAUUCUUCUCCCACAAUUUAUGGUAAUUUUCCAAAGUCACGUUACUGCUGCUGUCCCAAGCAGAUUUAUUACCAAAUCACUCUUUCACACAUACCUUGCAUGCAUGUUUUUUAAACAUGUAUAUCACUAAUCAAUCAUCACAUAUCUAUGAUUUUACUUAAGUAUAAUCUCCAUUUCAUCAUUUUAACGCAUAACAUGUUAGCUGAUUUUUCCCUUUAACAUCUAAGGCACAUGCAUGCUCAUUUGUUUGGCUCAACUUCACCUAUCUUCCAUUUUUCAUCAAAAGAACAUGAAAGAACAACCAUUUCCUUCAUUUUAAUUCAUGACUAAAUGCUCACAACACAACUAAAAACCAAAAUAUGCUUCAAGAGUUAAGGUAGAAUCAAGAUGAACUCAUGAACUUCAAAAUAAGAAGCAAGGUACCAAGAACUUACCUUCAAUUUUCCUCCUCCUAAUGACCGAAUACUCAAGAGCUUUCUCCUCUCCUUUCUCUUCUCUAACUUUCAGCUAUGAUGAACAAAGAUGGACAAAACUUUGUUCUUUUCACCCCUUUUUCUUCUAAUAAAACUUCAUAUUUCAUCCAUUUAAUUCUUUAAUACAAAAGAAAUGAAAUUCUUAUCAUAAAACAUUUACUUAACCCAUUAUCAUAAAACAUCUACCUAACCCAUUAUCAUGGAACAUUUACCUAAUCUAUUAUCAAUUUGUAUCAAUUUGUACCAUAAAUUAUAGAUAUCAAAUGUACAUUUUGUCUACAACAACAUGAUGGCUGGCCACUUCAUGUAAAAUGGGAGGUUUGUCAUGCAAAUCCUCCUAUUUUACACUCUUAUUUAUUUGGCCACUUCAAUUUAGCCUAUAGCAUUUUCAAACAUUUUCACAUAGGUCUUAUUUCAUAAUUUCACUCCCUUUUUCUUAUGGAACAAAAAUCUUAAGCUUGGGCCUUCUAGAGGCCCACUAACAUAAUUAAACCUAUGCCAACAUUCACAGGAUUCCCGAAAAUUGAGACGCUACAUAAAUUACAGAUCAACAUGCUCAGUGGUAGCUCUACUUAAUCAAAAUUUCAAUUUCAAUCUCAGUACUUUAAAUUUUAAAACAUUGAUUCCCUAUAUUUAUUUUAAUUUAACAAUCUUGGUGCCAAUGAAUAGCCCCUAUUCAUUUUUGUUGUUACUCAUACUAAUGUGUCAAUUAUUGUUACUCAUACUAAUGUGUCAAUUAUGAAAAUGAUAUAAUAAUCUCUCUCUUUUUUUCGCUUAAAGUUAAUAGUUUUUUUUUUCAAAUUUCCUCAACUAAAUUACUCAAAAAUUUUCUAAAAAUAUUUUUUUUCUUAUUGUAAAUAAAAAACCUUUAUUUUUUUUAAGAAUUAAAAAAACUAUUUUGAAAAAUAUAAAAAAUACAUGAAGUUCCAAUUUUUUAAAAUAUGUUAUCCACUUUGUAUAAUCCCGAUCCUGCCGGGCCUCACAAACCCAAUAAGCCCAAUUCAUCCUAGCCCAGAACCUUAACAAAAAAACCUAGCCUCUCUUCACCUUAGGUCUUCAACCACCCUCUGCCGCCGUUCCUCUGACACCACCAACUCCUCUGCCACCGCCGUUGACCCUUAGGCCUGCAAAACAAAAACAAGAAGAAAGCAGAGAAGCAGGAAGCAAAAAAAAUAAUAGAAAACUAAAUAUUGUAUUUGGCUAUAAAAAGAGCCUCAAACAAACAAUGUUUUUUUGGACACUGAUAUUGAAAUACAACAAAAAAAACCGGUGAUAAAAAAGAAAAAAGGUGAUUUCUAACGUCUGAUUUUUCUCUCAUCUCAAAUCUGUUUCGUUUUCUUCUUUGUUUGCAUGCGUUUCCAGUAUAAUAAAAACAAAAAACAAAAGACUUAUCAUUAAGAGUUUGUCUUCGAAAUCCUCAUCUUCUUUGUCUAAAUCGAAGUUUAAGAGGGGAUUUCGGGGUUGAAAUCGGCAUACAUGGCCCCAAUCAGCCUAGAACGGGCUUUGCUCAUCACCAAUUAUCGGUUACGGUAGCGUGUGGUGGCUGGGUAAAGGGUUCAUGCUUCAGCCGAAUGAAUAAGGGGGGAGAGAUUUCAGUUUCUGUUUUUUCUUAUUUUUUCUUUUGAUUUGUUUAGAGUGGCUGAAUGAUAGUUUUAGGUUUUUUUUAAUUUGGUUUUGUAAGGAGAAUGGAACGGUGGCGUUUAGGGGUAGGGUGAUCUGCUUCAAGUGGGAAAUUUGCAACGUUAACCCCUCCCUUUCGCGCUACAUUUUAGCUGACCCCUAUUAGCAUUUUAUUUAUUUUUUAAUUUCCCCUAAAAGUUUGUGUGUUAUUUCAUCUCAGCUCACUCCUAAGUGUUGCGUUUUAAGGUCUGGAGUAUUUCCAGCUUUAAUCCUUGAGCAUUUGCGCGUGUUUUGUACUGAUCCUUAUUUUAAUUCCAUCCGUUUAUUUUAUUUGUAAAUUGUCCCCUUCAUUUUAGAUUUAUUUUUAUUAAGUUUCCCAUUUAUAUAAUGCAUUGUUUUAAGGGUAUUCACUUAAUAAUUUUUUUUAAGAAAAAAACUACUUUAAUAAUUUUUAUUGCUUGGAAAUUUUGCAUUAUAUUAUUUUAGCAUUACGUAAAAUAUUUUGUUUACAUAUUUCUAUAUGCUUGUGUACACAGUGUAAUUUAGUUGAGUUUUCUAUUUAGAAAUAUUAAUAUAUUAAGAUAAAUCUAGGUAUAUUUGUUAAUCUAUUUUAAUUAUUUCACUUUGUUUUCAUCUGCAUAAUUAUUUUUCAUAAUUAUUUUGAAGUUCGUUUUAUCAUGUUAUUUUAAUAUUUUUGUAUAAUGUCUCAUCUAAUAUUUUGUGUAUAUUUGUACAUAUAUUAUUUUAAUGACUAAAUUGUUAUUUUAAAAUUUAUUUUGUGCUUAUAAAAUUAUUGUUUUGAAAUUUUUUAUAUUACAUUAUUUUAAUAUAUUACAUAGUAUCUCAUUCAAAUACUUUUGUAUAUAUUUGUGCGUAUAUAACAAAACUAAUUUAAUCUCGUAUGCAUUUUCCCUUUAUUCUAAAUUUAUUUACAUAUAUAUAAUUUGUAAAUUUAAUAUGUUCUUAAAAUUAUUAUAUAUGCUUUUAUUAUCUUUGCACAUUUUUUAAUUUUCCUUUAUUAUAUAUAAGUUGUCAAUUUUAAACCGAUAUCCUUUAACAUUUCGUAUAUCAUUCGAUUUAAAUAUUCAUUCUAUAACAUAUAUUUUAAUGGUCACAUGUAUUCUUUUAUUUUGUUUCUGUAAAAAGUGUCUAGUUUAACAAUUCAUAUAAUAUAUAUUAUAUAUUCAUCCUUUUAAAUUUAUCUUAUACACAUAUAUUUUUCUUUAACUUUCAUUUUGUUUUGCAUUUUUGCAUUUGAAUAUGUUGUAUUAGGUUAUAUAUAUUAUUGUGGUAUAUUAUUUUCAUUUUGUAUUGCCAUCAUAUUGAUUAUUCUUCAUCCAUGAUUAGGAAAUUGAUAAUAUUUUUUAGAAUUGGUGGAAUUUGAUUGUUAUCUUGUUAGUUGAUUAAACGAAUUAUCUUAUCUCCAUUCAUCCAUCAUAGUAUCUCGUACAUGUACAUUAUCUUGUGUUUUUAUUUCCUUUCGGAUUAACAAAUAUCACUCUAUAAUUUCUAACUCUUUAGAAUUAAUUAUUCCAUUUUAUUUUAAGACAAAUUAGUACAUUUCAAGCUGGUUUUAUAAUUAUUUAUUUAAAAAAUUCCUUAAAACCAAGGCAAUAUUCAAUGUUUGGCAAUUCGGGGAAUCGUGCUCUACCGUGCUGGGUUGCAAUUUCCUGUUUGUUCGAAACGAAUGAAUAUUCCUUCGGAAUUUCACCCAUGUCUUUAAAAAUUUUCUUUAGAACAAAGAAAAUGUUCGAUGCUUGGCAAUUCGGAGAAUUGUGCCCUAUCGUGCUGGGUUGCAAUUUUUCGUUUGUUCAAAGUAAUCGAACGUCCCUUUUGAAUUUUACACAUAUUUUUUCAAUCCUAAAGCAAAGCAAUGUUCAACGUUUAGAAGUUCGAAGAAUCGUGCCCUACCGUGCUGGGUUUCGAUUUUUUGUUGGACUAAAUAAUUGGACAUCCUUUUGCAAUUUUCAGGGUAUAAAUUUUUGGAAACCAAGAUUUAUCGCGUUCUCAAGGGAAUAAAGUGUUAUGUCCUAUCGUGUUGGAUAUGAUGCUGCGUUCCUUUGAAACAAGAAAAUUUUGACGGCCAACUUGAGCUAUUCAAAUUUUUAAAAGAAUCAUUUUUUUCAAAAAUAGUUUCAAAUCUCAGACAUAAGGACAGUACUUAAUCAAUUUGGUACCAAUUUUGGGCGUAGUGAGGGUGCUAAUCCUUCCUCAUACGUAAUCGGCUCCCGAACUUAUUUUCUCAUAUUUACGUAGGCCAAAAUCGGUUUUAAUAAAACAAAGUGUUUUAUUAGGUGACCCAAUCACACCCAAAUAAAAGAUUGGUAGCGACUCCAUGUUUUGUUUUCAAAAAGUCGAUCCCCGUUUUUUAAAAAAAAAGUCUCCCAAUUUUGAGCCAUCCGUUUAUUCUAAUUUAAAUUGGAUUUGAAUAUGUAUUUUUUAUCCAGUUCGUUCAAUUUUAUAUAUAAAUUUUUUAUUUAAAUUUAAUUAUAAGGUAUAUAAAAAAUUCUAUAAAAAUAUUUUUAAUAAUGAUAUAAACUUUGAAUUAGUUCAAAAUUUAAAUACAUUAUAUAUAUUUGUUCAAAAUACUAAAAUUAAGCCUAAAAAAUAAUAAAUUAAUUUUACUUUCAAAUUAAAGUUUUCUAAACUGACUAAAUUUUAUUUAAUUUGACUAGAUUUUAAAAAUUUUGACCAACCGUUAACUAAAUGAAAUUAAAAUAAUUCAAAUGAAAAGAGUAAGGGAAACUAAACUUAUUUUCUUAACUUGAAUGAAACAAUAGUUAAAAUUCUUGUUAAACACUCAUUUGGCAUGGAUCCAAAUCCUGUUACUCCAUCUCCACCUUUAUAUUACAUAAAAAAUUACUUAUAUUAAGUGCUCGUUGAAUAAAUUUGAUUCAAUCUUUGAACUAUUUGUGUCAGUGUAACACCCCAAAAAUAUAUAAGAUAAGAAGUAAUAAUUAACCAAGAAAUGAGUCUUAAUUUUAAUGGUUAAGAGCUUAGUAUAUUCCCUAGAAAUCCUACGUUGAACCCCCUUCCUUUCCCAUUUCUUUGUUUCAAGUCAUGCCAAACAUGUAACACCCCUCGCCCGCAUCCGACGCCUGGACGGGGUUCGAGGUGCUACCUGACUUUUACUAACACUUUCGUACUAAACAGGGUCAUGAAAUCUCAAAUAAUUAAAAACUUUUCUUUUCACAUGCAAUCUGUCCUUUAUGCGAGCUUAUGAGGCCCAAUACAUGCAUUCGGGGUGGUUCGGGACCCAACCAAGAACUCAUGAAAAACUUAGGAAAUCUCUUGUAUCAAGGCUCCACACGCCCGUGUAGGUAUAGAACACACGCCCGAGUGCUAAGGACACGCCCGUGUCCCGAACCCAUGUCCAAAACCUGGACAAAUACAAGGCUAUUUUCCAAGCCAUUUUGUCACACUCACAACACAUGCACGCAUACUUAUACAAUAGCAUACAACAUGGCAAAAUUAGGCACUUAAACCUUCCUAACAUGACAUGACCAUGGUAAUUUCACAUGCAACCAUUAUAAUAAGUUUUUCUUUCAUCUUUACCAUAUUAAUGCUAUAGCUAUCAACAUGUCAUCAAACCUCAUGUCCAUCACAAAGCAUGCAUAAUCAUAUCCACAAACCAUUCAUGAAGCAUUAUUAACUAUUUACCAAUCACUUAAUCCUGCAUUAGUUAUUAGCUCAUCAAUGAAUCUCAAUUCAAUCUCUAGGCAUACAUGUUGUAAGCCACAUCACAAGAGAUAAUAACAUACAUGCAUAAGAAUAAUCAUAUGGGCCCAUAACGAUAUUACCUGACAUAGGCCAAUUUACAUGACUAAUACUACCUUAAUAACAAGCCAAUGCCUUUGGCUAAAUCAUAAUAUUACAUACUCACAUUAAAACCCUAUACACGCCAUAGACUAGAAUCACUUGAGUUUACUUAUGCCGAUAGCGUUAACUCGACAGUGUGAUAAUAUCUCUGACGGCCUCCAACCCGAGCUAACCUGGAAACUCUAGAAAACAUGGGAAAGAAGAGGGGGUAAGCUUUAGCUUAGUAAGUUCAUAUGAAAACAAUAAGCAACUCAUUAACUUGUUUUAUCAAUGUUUACAACAUAUUCUCAAGUUCACUACAAGCUAUCUUUCUGAGCAAUGGUCACUAAAUUAUUUAUAUCUGGAGCUACGAAACUCCGAAUUAAGUUCCGUUAAUUUUCCCUUAAACUAGACUUAUUUUCCUUUCUUCCAUAAAAUUUCCAUAAUUUUUGGUUAAGCCAAAUAGUACAGUUUAUUCCUCAAAGUUACCCCUGAUGCACUAUCUGACAGUUCCGACCCUUCUGUACUAAAGUUUGAUUAUCUCAUAGUACAAGACUCAAAUAAUGUUCUCGUCUAUUUAUCUUGAAACUAGACUCAUAUGUAUACUUAAUAAUUUUUUUCUAGAAUUUUUGGUUAGGCCAAUUAGUACAGUUUAUUAGUUAAAUUCUCCCCUGUUUCAGGGUAUGACCACUCUGACCCUUGUGCACUACAAACUGAAUUUCUCCCUGUAAAAAAUUCCAACGACCAUGCCGUUUAUUUCACCUAAAAAUAGACUCAAUAAGGAAUCCAUACAUGUAAGGUAUGACUCUUAAUAAUUUUUUUACAAUUUUUGGUGAAUUUCUAAAGUCAGAAUAGGGGAUCUCGAAUUCAUUUAGACCCUAUUUCACAAGAAUUCAAAUAUCACACAAUAUGAAAUUCUUUUUCUUCCCCUAUUUCUUUCAUGUGAAAAUAGACUCAUUAAGCUUUAAUCCCAUAUUUUAUUCUGCCUCUAACUCAUUUUCCACUAUUUUUAGUGUAUUUUCAAAGUUACAUUACUGCAGUAACUCAAAUCUGUCAAGGCUCAUUCAUGAUCAUUGUUCACAAAAUUAAUACAACAUCGUUUGUAUAAUCAUCACUGAGACAUUCAUAUCACAUUUUCAUUUACCAUCUUACCAUAUUGUUGUUAUGUCGAGUUUUCAACCUGAGGGUUAAGUACAUACCCGUUCAAAGUAUCCAUUUCACAAUAUUUACCAAUACAUCCCUUUCAUCUCGAGUAUUCCUCCAUUUGAGUAGAAUUUUACCCGUUGAACACAUCGGAAUAUAAUUCGGAUAUAUGGAAAGUUGGCACAUAAGUGCCACAUAUGUAGCCAAGCUACCAUGUAACCCGCCCAUAAGUGAACUCGGACUCAACUCAACGAGCUCGGGCGUUCGCAUCCAUAAGUGAACUCGGACUCAACUCAACGAGCUCGGAUGCCUAGUUACAUCUCACGAACUCGGACUCAACUCAACGAGUUCGAACAUUCGCAUCCAUAAGUGAACUCGGACUCAACUCAACGAGUUCGGAUGCUCAACCAUCCUAGUAACAUGUCACUUGUAUCCUAAUCUAUUCCUAAGGUUCAAACGGGAUUUUCCUCGAACACAUAUCCUUGCCAUCUUCCGUAAAAUACCGAAACCAAUACUCGGUAGCACUUUAUAUUUAACAGAUAAUACACAUAACUUGCAUUUUAUUCGAAAAUAACCACAAAGCAUAUAUUUCAUGAUAAAAAUCAGCAUAUCAUAUAUUUAACAUCAAUAACUUAAAAAUAACAAUUAUGCUACAUUAUUUACACAUGAACUUACCUCGAUACCACAAAGGUGAAAAAAAAAGACGUAAUUAUCCCUUAAUUGAUUUCUUUCCGUUCUAGGUCCAAAUCUCGAUUUUCAUCAUCUAAAAUAUCACAUUCAACUUAUUAAAACAAUGUACUGAUCAAAUUAGUCCAUUGACACACUUGGGCAAUUUUUUACAAUUUUGCCCCUAUAUUUUGCCAAAAUUACCAAAUUACCCCUAGGCUCGUAAAAUAAUUUUUAUCACAUUUCUUUACUCUUUGAGUCUAGAUGAACCAUUUUCAUAACUAUAGCAACUCAUAAUUUCAACUAUUUCACACAUUUACAACUCAUUUUACAACUUAGCAAUCUAGCCCUUUUUAAGGUGUUUUCAUGCAAUUUCUUUCACAAAAGUUGUUUAUUAGACAACUAGGACUCAUAAUAUUCCAUAAAAACACAGCAAACAACACAUUUACUCUCAUGGAAAAACCCCAGACUCUUCAUCAUUUUGCAAAAUAGUCCCCUCUUAUGAAAGCUCAUGCUUUAGGGGUUCCAAAAAUGUAAAAAUCAUCAAGCAAAGACAUUAAAAUCACUUAAAAGCAAGGGAAAUAUGUUGCUGAAAUUUUCCAGCUUCAAAGCCCUUUCUUUGCUGCAUAUUUCGGUGAAGGAGAAGAGAAAAAUGAUAGCUUUUUCUUUUUGAUUUGUUAAUAAUAAAACUAGUCAAAAUUGGUGACCAAAUUUCACCUAAUUUUGACUUUUCAACAAUUUUGUCUCCCAUGGCCGGCCAUCACACUUUCAAUGGCCUAAUUUCACUUUAAAUACCCCCAAUUUAAGAUACAAGGCAAUUUAACACCUUUAGGUAUUAAAACACAACUUUUACCUGUUACGCGAUUUAGUCCUUUUUCGAAAUUGGACUAGAAAUUGCUAAAAUUAACUUACCAAAAUUUACAUGCACUUAUAACAUUAUAUUAUAACACAUAAAAUAAUACUAAAAUAAUUUUCUCUAGCCUCGAAAUAGUGGUCCCGAAACCACUGUUUCGACUAGGCCCAAAAUCGGGCUGUUACAAAACAUCUCCCUAUUUCCAUUUUCCUUAAUUUUGGCAAGAUGGGCUAAUUAGCUAAACAAUCCCUCAAAUUCAAAAAAAUCUAUGUAUUUAAUCUCUUAUUCAAAUCAAAUUAGAACUCUAGUCUCUUUACUAAUUGAACUAAAAUGUUACUUUCUUUUUCUUUCCCUAUUUCCCCCCUCAUUUUCUUUUUCAUCCUCUCUUUUACAAAUAUUUUUCCUCUCAUUGCUGAAAUUUUAUUUUGAUCCCAAAUCCUAAAUCAAUCUCCGUUCAACCAUUCUUUUUAUCGGUGUAGCAUAACGCCAAUAAAUAUUGUCUCUAACGUUGUCAAGAAUCGGUAAGAACAUUUCCAUUCUGACAUUUAGAUCUCAAACUACUUGUCAAAUUUUUGUUCUUGUUGAUUUCAAGAUUGAUUAAACGAUCUUUUACCAAUCUUGCUAAUAUUUCCUAAAAUAUUGACUUUUCUUGAAACCCAUUAUUAAUUCUUUCAUAUUUAUUGGUUGAAAGACUCGUUGCAGGUAUCCCGGACUAGACUUGGAUGUAAGGGUCAUCGUUCAAGACCCAGGUGACAUGUGUUUGUUCGUUUACGAGUAAAUCAGGGUAAAAUCGAGCCUAGAAUAGGGUCACAUGACCAGCCACCUAGGCGUGUGGGCCACACACCCUGCUCACAUGGUCAUGUCUGCCCUGAAACCCUAGGAGUUCGAAUCGCACACAGCCUGAACCUCCGAUCCACACGGUCUUGUCUCCCUUGUAGGUUGAUUUUAUGAAUGCCACACGGCCUAAACACACGGUUUGGUCACACAACUGUGUGUCCUCUGCAACUCAGAAUUUAUAAUUUUGACCCAGAAUUUUUAUGAUUUGUUCAAAUUAGUCCUUGACUAAAACUCAAACUAUUUUAAUGUUUAAUUUUGUGCAAUUAAGUCCCUAAUAAUAUGAAACCUUGCUUGAUUAAUCUGAUAUCAUAUGUACAUAUAUAUUUGCAUGAUUUAUGAAUAGUAGGUAUGAUUAAUGUAACUAUACAUUUGCGAUCGUAUGAACGACAUGCCCUAUAUUACUGUUGAUCCGAAUACAUGAAAAAAUGAUUUUUGUUAUUGAUUUGCCACCUGUUAGUACAUUAAUUACUAGCAUACUUGAUAUGUAUUAAACAUGUCACUGUGCAUUGCCUGGGAUGGGACGAUGUGAUUGGAGGAAGUUUGGCAGUAUAUCUACACUUAUCUAUUUUGAUGUGUAUCUAGCCAAAGGCAAAUUCCAUAUGCAAGUACUGCUGUGUAUCCACAACCAAAGGAACUUUUUAAAUAUGGGUUUAUGCUGUGAAAUCUAUAGUCAAAAGCAAGUUUCAUCUACAGGACUUUUUGCUGUGAACCUACAACCAAAAACAGAUUUCAUCUGCGAGGACUUGUUGUGUGUCCACAGCCAAAAUGGCAGUUAUUAUUUGCUAACCAGUAGUGGUUUAUCCACAUCCUGGUGUGUUGGAGAAGGGAGUUCAGGGGAACUCCCGUUGUGAUGUGUAGUGGUGGGGUAGGAUCUAUUCUAUUAAAAAUCGAAACUGUAUGACAAUCUUCAAAAUCAUGUGCAUACAAGUUUGGAAAUUAUGUUAUGAUAUAAUUAUGCAUGGAAAUAUAUAUGUAUUGUGGGAAAUUUUGAAAUUGGUUAUUUUGAUAAUUGCUACAGUGAGUUCUCAUAUAUAUUAAUGAUGGUUGCAUUGAAAAACUAAUACUUUGAAUUGUUGUCUAAUUAUGAUUAUAUUAUGCGAUAUUAUUUAAUAUGUUUUACCUACUGUUUACACUAAUUUUCUUAUGCAUGGACUUAUACUGAGCAUCAUAGCUCGCUCCUUAAAUUUUUAUCUUUAUAGAUAACCUACCAAGUUAGGACACGGAUGAGGCAUCUGGAGGGUCCAGCUCAAUCUAUUUUAUUUUCAAUUUAUUAAAGCUUAUUCUUUUGAUUUUUUUAUUAUUCGAGGAUUGUAGUAUUUUAUUUUGAAUUGUGGCAUGGGAGUCAAGUUUUAGGUUUGUUUUAUUUUGCAUGACAUUUAAUUGAAGUCUUAAAUCUUUCGAAUUAUGAUUGUUAAUUAAUUAUGCAUGAACCCCAUUUUUUUAUUAAAAACAAAUAAUUAUCACUUUCCCGAUUUUUAUUAAAAAAAAUAUUUAUCACUUUUCUGCUGUCAAAGUGUAAUUAAGAUUUCAAGUAAUAAAUAAUUUGGAAAUUAACUAAGUUUUGAGCUAAAUCAAACAAAUAUUACUAUUUUCAAAACUCUGAAAAUCUUGUUAGACCAUCUCGAUGACUGAUGUAAUCUUUCGAAUCUGAGUCUAACGUCUAGUUCGAGUUAGAGAAGUUACAAUCAGUCUAGUCCUUUAUGGCCAUAAAAACCCUCUUAUUUUUUUAUUCUUUAAAGCAAUAAUAAAAUUUUGGGGGUCAAAUGGAUGGAGCUCCCUCACCAUUCUUAGAAGAUGAGUUACCAUCUCGGCAAAAUUCAAAAGUAAUUGAAUCUUGAAUUCUUUUUAUGUAUUGUAUUUUGUAUACAAAUUAUAUAGUAUAUUUAAAUUUAAUUCGAAUCAAUUUAAAAGUUUUUAUUAUCAUUUAAAAGUAUUUUUACACUAAAAUUUUAUAUAUUUUAUAAUAAAUUUUAAAUAAAAAAUUUUUGGUAACUAAUUAAUUUGAAUAAAUUUUUUAAAAAAUAUUUAUUCAUAUUCACGGUUUAAUACAAACUAAAAAAAAUAGCUUUGGAGAAACCUUAUUAGAUUAAAUAAUAUAUUUUUAGAAAUUUUGGUUUUUUUUUAAUGUUCUUCAUAUUUUUUUAUUUUUUAAAAUGAAUUAUUUAAAUUCUUAUUUUCUUUUUUUGAAUUUUAAAGAGUUUUAUUUUCAUAAUUUUAUGAAAUUCUAAAAUAUGUGUUUUUUUAAAUAGGAUUUUUAUUGAAAAUACGAAAGACUAAUUUAUAAUUUUUUUUUAUUUCUAUGUACUUUUAAAAAGUAAGGACCAAAUUGACAGGAAUUAUAAAUAUUAAAGACUAAAAAGAUAUAGGAAUUAGGAUAAAAAUAUUUUAAAACUUUUAAUUCUUUUUUAGAAUUUUUGUAUACUUUUAACAAGUAAGGAUCAAAUUAGGGGAAAAAAAAGAGUAAACAUUAAGAGCUAAAAAGUACACAAUUAACGGCAAAAAUGGUUGGCAUUAUUGAUUGGACCAAACUAAAUCAAAUUAAGUGGAAAGACUGAAUAUCUUAAAAUUAAAGUAUGGAAACUAAAUUUAAAACUUGAUUAAAUUCAUGAAACUCUAAAUAUUCCUUGAAUAUUUGAAUUUAUCAAAUUAAAAAUUUUAAAAUUAAAUAAUGAGGGGUUUUUUCAAGGUAGUAAAUAAUAAGUUUUGAAUAUUGGAUUGUAAUACUCAUAUUUUGUACUAAUGAAACCAAACCAAAAUGAGACAGACAAAAUAUCCAAAUCAUUCCCAACUUAAUGAUAUGCUAUAACCAGACACUUUAAUGUUAAAUCUAAAAAUCAUCCAAAUGAAUUUGAUAAUCUCAGCUAUUAGUUACUAAAUAUGUUGCAUGCUUUAGCUCAUUCAUAAAAUAGUUACCAAAUAUGUUAUAUUAUGAUGUUGAGCCAAGGUAAGAAGACAAGAUUAGGAGGGCUCAUCUAUAUUCGUGUGUUGUGGGAGAAAAAAGGAAUUGACACAAUGAGGCGCGGAGAAGGAUCCUAGAAAAAUAAAUAUUAAUAAUUUUAUUUAAAUAUAAACUCUAAAUUUAAAACUCGAGAAAAAAAUAUAAUAAUAAGGUUUCAAAAAAACGUAAUAAUUAUAUUUAAAUAAUGCUAUUAACAUUUGUUUAUAACAACUAGUGUACAUACUCGUGCGAUGCACAUAUUAAUUAUAUAUAUUAACUAAAUUAUAUUUAAUUAUUUGUUAUAAAUCUUUUUAAAUUUUGUAACAGUUCAAAUAAUAAUAUUAUUACGAAAUUAAAACAUAACAUAUUAAUUUAACUUUAAAAGAAUUAUAGUUGAUAUUAUAAUCAAUUGAAUAAAAAGAUAAUACUAUUUUAUAAAUAAACUUAAAUUAAUAAGUAAGAUUCAUUCGUUAUAGACCUAUUCAUAGGGUUGAGCAUCCAAUCGAAUGAAGUGAAAAUUUUUUAUGCUAAUCGAUUUGAUGAAUCUCAUUUUAUAAUCCUAACUUGAUUUUAAGUCUUCUUGAAUCAAUUCGAAUGAAAUGAGAUUUGAGUCUAGUCGAGUCAAAUAAAUUUAUUCGAGUUAAAUUUAAAAAGUUAAACCGACCAUAAAUUUUGUGGACAAUAUGAUUAGAUUCCAAAUUAAGGAACAUAAAUAUAUUAUAUAUAUUUGAAAACUCUUUUUAAAAAAUAUAAAUAUAAUAUGUAUUUUUUGGAGGGACAAAUUUGCACAUUUUCAAAACUAUCAGGGACCCAAGGGGUAUUUACAUCAUUUUUUUUAUUCGUUUCAUUUGAAUUAUUCUAGUUAUAAAAUUAAACUCAACUCAAACUCGAAAAAUCGAAUUACUUAUUCGAGUUAAUUCGAUAAAAACCAAAUAACUUGAAUAACUCAUUUUGAUAAACUCGAAAUUCGAAGAAAAAAAUUUUGUUUUUUUUCGAAUCAAGGUCUACUCACCCCUGCUUAUUCAUGGGUUGGGCUACUUGCCUAAGCUCGAAGGUCUACCCAAAAUUUGGAAUGAUUUGGGCAAAAAUAUUAAGCUCAAAACAUGGAUUUGAACAAAAAAAAUUUAAGCCUAUUUUAAAAAUAGAUUUUAUGGUUAAAAGACAACAUUAAUAAAAAUAAAUUUAAACUAGUUUUUAAAAUUAAAAUUACAUUAAUUAUUGUCAAUUGAAUCUUAGCUCGAUUGGCAUAUGUAACAGCCUAAUUUUCAGUGGUGUCGAAAACAGUAAUUCGAGGUCACUAAAUUCGACAUAUAAGUUUAAAAAUUUAAUAAAUUAAUAGUUAUGAGUCAAGUGUGAUUUUAAAAAUAUUUUUGAAUUAGUGAAUUUUGUGAUUUUAAAGAAUUUAUUAGAUAAAUUGGGUUGAAAACGAGGAAACGAGACCUCCAUUUCAUAAAUCAAGCCGUAAAUAUUUUUAACGUUUCAUUAGAAAAUUUUAAUGUUUUGAUAGUUAAUAUUUACGGAGUAUUAAUGAGUUAGUAUUAAAGUUUCAUUAGAAAAUUUUAAUGUUUUGAUAGCUAAUUAAUUAAAAAGGAUUAAAUUGAGAAAAGGUGCAAAACUUGUUAAUUAAAGAAAUAAUGACUAAAUAGCUCAAAUAAGAAAUAAAAGGGAUUUAAAGGGAAAAAUAGCCUAAAAUGGAUGGGCUAAAACGGUUAAAGUAGAAAAAAACAAAGAAAUUGGGUGAUUAAGUGGCAAAAUGGGAAAUAUAUAAAAAUUUAAAUAGUUAAAAAAAGGACUUAAUAGAAAUUUAGACAUUUCUUCAUUUUUCUUCAGCCAAAAACACCAUCAAAGAGUUUAUCUAAGCUGGUUUUUCAUAUUCUUGUUACAAGUAAGUUCAAUUUUUGAUUAUUUCUUGUAAAUUUUGUGAUUUUGACACUUUUACAACUAGGUCCAACUAUUGAAUUUAUUAGUUUUUGAUUCUAUGAAUGAUUUUGAAAGUUUCCAUAAAUGAGUGCUAGAAUUUUAUGAUAAAUAAGUAUGGAUUUGAAGUUCUAAUUUUGUUAUGUGAUGAUUUUAUUAAGUGAUUUCAAUAGAAAUUAAUUUUUAGGACCUAAUUGUGAAAAAGUUAAGAAUUAGGGUUUAAUGCUAAAAUUCUGAAUAUCAAAGGUUGUGUAGUAGUUUAGAAUGAAAAAAUAAAGUGUUAAUUAAGAAAAAUUAGUUCAAUUGAAGGGUUAAUUAAUUAGGGACUAAAGUGUAAUAAUUGUAAAAUUUGGAGUAAAAUGUGUAAUUUAAAAAGUUGAAGGGUAUAAAUUGUGAAGUGGAAUGAGAUUGAAACAUAUGUGCUAAUGAAAGAAUAAUUUUAUAUUAUAGAUCAAAAGUCCAAAGAAAAUCGAGGAAAAGAGAAAUUAUUUGAAUAGUUCCUGAGCUACAACAAAUUUUACAAACUAGUCCAAGUAAGUUCGUAUGGUUAAAUUUUUAAUGUUAUUUGUUAAAUUGAUGAGUGGUAUUAUAUAUAUUUAUUCAUUUUUAUUAUUGAAAAUAAAAUAUUAUAGAAAUUAUGAAAAUUGAAUUGAAACAUUUGAAAAGGAUAGAACGCGGGAUUGAGUACAAUCGUUCAGUCAUUAAAGGAAUUGACAGGAAAAUUACACAAGUAAACCGAGAUUCAACAUUUUUUGUGGACUUCUGUGUUUACUUUUCAUUUAGCUCACAUGAGCUUCAGUUAACUCAUAUGGGUUUCAGUUAACCCUAAUGAGUUUUAGUUCAACUCUUAAGAGUUUCAGUUUAAACCUAUUAGGUUUUCAUUCAGCUCUUAUGAGCUUCUGUUCAACCCUUAUGGGUUUCCAUUAGCACUUAUGUGCUUCUGUUCAGCCCUCAAGUUUCAGUUUACGAUGUACUCAUAUCUGUAAGAUGUUCAUUAGUCUAAAAAAGGUUGAUAAUUCAGUAAGUGAUAUUUGAUACUAAUGGUUGAAGAUUCAAAGAUAAUAUUGAUUUUGAGAUUAGAUAAGUGAAUUCAUCAACUGAAAUUGUGGUUGGCAGGAAAUGUGUAAUGAAUGAUUUACUUAAAUGAGUUGUUUUAGUAUGUUUGGUAAGAUUUAUGUUUAAAACCAACGAACUUACUAAGCUUUAUUAAGCUUACUUUAGUUGUUCAAUGUUCUUUGUAGAUUCUCAAGAAGUUCGGAGGAUCGGAUCAACACAUCAGUUCACACUAUCCAGAUAACUCCGGUAGAUUUUCUUUUGAAACUUAAGGUUUAUAUGGCAUGUAAAGGGUUAAAUUUAAAAGAAGUAAACUUGUAAUAUGGUUGAGAGCGGUGCAAAUACAUAUAUGUAUGUUUGUAUGCAUGUACUUAGUAAUAGCCUAUAGUAAUCAAUGAAUGGAAUUAAUGUGAUAAGCUUAUGCAAAUGACUUGUGUGAUGAUAUAUUAGGUCUAAAACUUGAUUAUUGGUUUGUAUUGGUUGCUUGAUUGGGUUAUAUUGGUAUAUGAGAGUGUUGUAUGCAAAUUGAUUGUGAAAAGGGUGAGAAAAAUGGCCUUUAAAUGGCUUAUUUUCGUCCACAUGGGUAGAGACACGGGCGUGUGUUUCAGCCGUGUAUGAAACAUGGCCAUGCACAUGGGCAUGUAGUCUGGCCUUGUGUCCCCUGCAUCUUAAAAUUUAGAAACAUAAUGCUCAGAAUUGAGCACACGGUCAGAGACACGGGCGUGUGUCUCAGCUGUGUGAGGCACACGGCCUAGCACACAGGUGUGUGGCUUUGCCGUGUGAAAAUUGUACUAAUUUUGGGAAAACAAAUUGGCCACACGCCUUAGCACAGGGGCGUGUGGAUUGGUCGUGUGACUCAAGUCAAAGAGUUACAUGGGAUAAGACACGGCCUGAAGCACGGGCAUGUCAUGGGACCACACGGGCAUGUGACCCCUGUACCUAGGAAAAGUUUUGAAAUUUGACGAAAAAAUUUCUAAGUUUUCGGUUUAGUCUUGAUUCAAUUCUGAUACUCAUAUUGGACCUCGAGGGUCCAUUUAAGGGACGUUAUGAAUAAUCUCGGAAAAUGUAUAGUAUUUGACAUGAAUUAUCUAUUAAUGAUCUGAAAACUCUAGUAAUGCUUCGUAACCUUGUUUCGGCGACGGAUACGGGUUAGAGGUAUUAUAGCAUGGGCAUUAUUGCCAAUAUAGGAGGACGUGGGCUCGAGUGCACUGAAACGUAUUAUCCUCCUAUUUAUGGGUUGGGUAGAGACUAUGGGUAGUUUUAGGUAUAUUAUGUCAAAACAAGUAGAUAUAAUUAGAACCAGUAAUAACAUAAAUAUAAUUCACAUACAUAAAAGAAUAAUUAAUUUUAUAAACUUUUUUUUAUUUUUGUAAUAUAUAUUUUUCAUUUAUUCAUUUUUAUUUUCUAUAGUUUAAAAUUUAUUAAUAUUUUUUUAUUUAGUUUUUAGAUGGAUAUCAUUAAUGACACGUGUCAUUGUUUGAUAUUGUCACAUGUCCCGAACUUAACAGUGUUAAAAAAAAAUACCAAACUAGUUAACGGAAAAAAGAAGUUCAGGUACCAAAUUUGGACAAAAAAAACUUUUAAGUACCAAUUUGAGAGAAGUGAAUAAAUUAGGUACCAAAUUUAUAUUUAAGUCUAUUAUAAAUAAAUAAUUUCAAACUAUAAGCCUCUCUUAUGAAUUUUUUAAAAUGAAGAAACUCUAUAGAGCUCAUAAAAUAACGAGUAAAUUGGUACUUACUUAUAGUGUAAGUAUGAAUUAUGAGUGUGUUCUCUAGUCAAUGUGAGAUUUAGGACACUUCAAUUUCUCUAAAGAAAUAAAAUGAUUUUUUAGAGUUUAUUAUUACCAUAUAAAUGCAACUAAUAGAUAAUGAAAAUUAAAGAAAAAAAGAGAAAAAUUUGCAUUAAAAAAAAAAAAAAAGAGAUCGCCACUUAUCAUCAUUAUAUGCUUUUGUACCUUGAUAUAUAUAUAUAUAUAUAUGGUUGUAUUAUCUUUUGUUUUACUCAAUGAUAAUGUAUUGUGUUGUUAUUCACUUCUAAUGCAUGAAACUCUUAUCCUAACAAUACAUCCAAUAUAGUGCCAAAUUUUUAUAAUAAUGUCUCAAAUUUUUGAAGAAGUUAUAAGUAAAAUUAUAAAUAUAAACAAAAUAAUACACAUAAAUAAUUACAGCAAGAACCGAUAAUCGCAAAUCCUAAUUUGAGUGAUAAUUAAAAUAUAUUUAGAUGUAAAUUAGAAUAAAUUUGAAUAGAACACCUACGUACAAUUUAUAAAAAAAUAGCUUUCUGGCCCUGCCAUUUAGAAGGAACAUAAAAAUCUACCUCGCCCUCUAAAACCAAAUCUUAGUAUUGUUGGUGGCGGCAUAGGCCUCCUAGAUGGUUGUUAGUUGUGACCUCUUCAAUAGUAUUCCCCUUUUUUUUUCUUUAAUUUUUAGUUUUAAUUCACUUUAUUUUCUGUGAAAUUUAUGAUAAUUAUUGUUUUAGUCUAUAUUAUCGUAGUUUUUAUUUUUAUUCACUCGGUUUUUGUCCACUCUAUUUGUAAGAAUAUCGCUAGAUCUAUUGGAAACCAUUUUCAGAAGACGUUAUCAUAAUAGAGCAUUGUGAUGAUAAUCGUAAAAUUAGACUUCGAGAUGAGGAGGUGGGUAGGCCAACCUAGACUUGGCCUUUUGUGUAUUAUUGAUGCAAUGAAUCUAUUGGAGUUCUUACCACCAGAGUACAUCAUUAAGUUAAUUUGAUGACGGUGAAACUAAGAUGCAAAUUUCAGCAAUUUAAUAAAUGUGAUUAUCAAAUUAUCUUUCUCCUAUUUUGGGCUUAAUUUAUAUAAAUUUAUAAUAUUUUAUUGAUUACUUAUACCAUGUACCAUGAAUCUAUUUUUCAUGAUUCGAAAGACGACAAAAAAAAUAUAGCUUCCUAAGGCACUUGAGAAUUCCACUAUAGUGGAUGGGAUAAAGUAUCCAUAUAUUUUACUUAAAAAAUAAAUUUUAAUUAAAAAAAUACUGUUUUAAACAUUUUAUUUCAUAUUUUCAAAUAAAUAAUUUUUUUAAAACAUAAAUUUGAGAUGGAUUCAUCGUUAUAAAAAAACUGAAAAAAAAAUUGAUAUGAAUAGGGGCGGAAUCUAUGAUAUUUCAUUUUUUUAUGUUCUCAAGAAAUUUAAUCCCAAAAUCUAAUUUAACAUAAUUACCAAAAAAUAAAAUAACUAUAAUCCUUGAGACCCAAAUCAGUUUUCUUAUCUAAAAAGCCCAUUGUUAACGGCGGGGGCUAAAUAUUGGGCCAACCCUCUCCCAAUAGAUUUUUACCCCCACAAAAGGAAGGUAUAUGCACAGUUUUAAAUGGUGUAUGGGUCAACAUGGAGCGUGGCAAUGGUGGCUUCUUUGAUGGCGUCAUUUGAAGAAAAUGAUGUUAAACGGAGCACACAAAAUGCAUUUCGAAUCCUGUUUAAACCACAGAGGAUUGUUGCUCUUCUGGAUUUUCUUUUUUUGGGGAUAACAGCCAUAGCAGCUGACUCUAGUAUUCACACAAGAGCUACGGGCAUGGCUUCCGAAAAUAGGUUACUACAAAUUUUACAGUACUACUCACCGGCACUGCUGCUUAUCUUAUCUGUUUAUAUUCUAUGAACAAGACAAAAAAGACAGGAAAGAAUCAUGGGCUUAUUCUAAACAGACAAACCAAUCAGCACACCGUUAACUGUUUUGGAUGAACAUCAAUACCCAUACGUCAGUUUUUGAUCAAAAGUUUUCUAGAACCCCCCCUCCCCAAUAAUGUUGUCACCCCCCAACUCUUUGAGAAUCCUAUACUUCCUCGUAAAUAUGCUUUGUUUCUUGUCGGUAGGCCGCACAAAGUCAUUAAACUACUGAAAUUAAGCUUUUCCUUGGGGCCUACUCUGUUUCAAUCUUGAAAUUUAAUCACUUGGAAACCAACUAAACAUGCUCUUUUGCCAAGUCAAAUGAUGGCGAAAUUACUUAUUCACAAAGCAUCUUCCAUUUCCUUUGCUAUUUUGUAACUUUGUACACAAUUUUUUUAUAAACAAUUAUUUCCUCUCAAUCAAAAUUCAAGACAAAACAAAUACAAAUGACCCUUUUUAUCUUACAGAGAUUCAAAACUGAAAAUCUUUUCUUUUUUUUUUUCUUGUGGCAAAAUUUGAAUUGAGUAUUUACAAAGAACGGUAUGGAAUUUGAGGAGGGAUCCUGAAGCGGACCUGAGAAACAGGGGAACGGACGGCGACGCCGUGCCAGCAAAUACCACCCUUGCACAUCUCUUGAACGUGUACGGAAGCGGCGUAAUCGCGAGAAAUCGCGUACGUGGCUUUACGGGAGACGUCCCACGUCAACGUGCCAACCAAGAUGAAACCCACCACCGUGCUCGACACUAUCAGCACGAAGCCGCCACCGAAGCUCCGCCCACAUACUAAACCAUACGCCUUUAUCCCCGCUAUCACUGCCAAGUAGAUCAUCAUCAAAUUCCCAAUCACCGCAUCCGAUAUCGCCAUAUCCCCUCCCACCCUCCUUACCCCCACAAACAAUUCCCCUCUUCCUCUAAUCCUAGCGCUAAUUUUACGGUUAGUAUAUUGUUAAAGAGUUCGCCCUGGGAGUGCUGCUGAUAAAGGAAUAAAAAAUAAAGGAAAAAAAAACAGAAAAUAGUGUGGUGGAACUGUGGGAGAAGGGAUGAUUUAAGUAACAAAAAUGAGGAAUGUGGGGUUGGGGUUUUAAAUUUGGAUUAAAUUAAUAUAUUAAAAAAAAUAUACGGGUUCAAGUAGAUGUUACAAAACGGUAUCGUUGAGGUAAAAGCUUAUCUUUUGGAUGCGAAGGUUUAGGUGGAGGAUGAUGAUAUCUCUUCUUUUUGGGCUUUUUUAUUAAAAUAACAUAAAAAUAUUAAUUAAUUAACAAAAUAAUUUAGAUAAAAAAUUAUUUAAAAAAUGACCUAAUUUCUAUAAUAGUGUCCGUAACAUUAAAUGGUUAGGGACUCGAUGAAGCAAUUGUUUUUUUUAGAUUAAUUGAAAAAAAGAGUUAAAUUUAUCAUCUUUUGAAAUUAAAUUUAAAUAACUUUUAAAAUAUAUAAAAAUAAUAAAAAUAAAUCCAAAUUAUUUUUUAAUUAUUUUAAAAAUAAUAAAAUUAAAGAAUUAUAUAAAAAAUACUUAAAUUACUUAAAUAUAUCCAUCAAUUCUUUUUUUUAAAUUUAUCUAAAUUCAAAUAUUUUCAGUUUAUUCACAUAGUAAUUUUAAUUUCUAAAAUUUUAUAAUUUUAUCUUCAUUCGGGUUAAUGUACUGACCAAUAAACGUUCAGUCUUUAGAAGACAUUGAUUAUUGUAAAUUCCAAGUCUUUUAGGUUUAUUUAUUUAUUGGCUUAGUCUUCUAAAUUCCAAGUCUAUCAUUUAUUGAUUGACGUUUGACAAAUAGGAAAAAAGAGAGCAGUUGUUGAGCCAUUGUAAGUGAAUUAAAGCACGUCAAAAUUGAGUGGAGAGUGGUGUCAAAUCUCAAUCCCAUCAACUAAUCCAAGCUGUUUAAAGUGCCUGUCUUUAUAUGUAAGUUCUGUAGAGGUGGGUUACAAUUUUAUAUCUUAUCUAUAUUAUUUAAAAAUAUUUUAUUUUUUUUAAUUUUAGAAAAUUAAUAAAAAUAUACAUAAUAUGAUAUUUGAAUUCGAACUAAUUGCAUUUAUAAAAUUUUUAUUUACCACUUAAUUAAAAUUUUGUUUUAAUUUUUUAUACCUUUUAUUUCUAUGCACACUUUAUUACUUUUAUUAUUUAUAUAUAUUAAUAAUGUAUUUGAUUGAUUUGGUAUAAUAAAUAAACUUAAUUCCGAUCCAAAAUUAAUAAACAAUUUAAUCUAAUAUUUUAAGUUUCAAUAUCGUACAUAUUUUAUAAGUUAUUAUUAUCAAUUAAUUUCAAGUAACACAUUUCAUUAUCUAUUAUAUAUAUUUUUUAAAUAAAUGUUGGCAUGCUUUAAUCACUUUACCAAACAAAAUAAAAUAAGCGUCAAAACAAAUAAGCCUCUCUAGCUUCCAAAACAAUCAAAAUAGCAAUAUUAAAAAUCCAUUUUCUUCCCUUACAUCCCUAUGCAUACCAGUCAAGAAAAUCGCUUCAACUCUCACCAUAGACUCAAUGACAUGUUCUAAUUUGAAACGAUUCAACGAAAAUGCUAUCGUGACUGUUAUGUGGUUUUGCACAAAUUCCUAUCGUCAACCAUCAUAAUCUCUCGAAUUGCCACUGGUCCCUCCUCCACCCAUCAAACAUAUCGCUUCCGAAUGAAGCCCUCCUUCGCCAACAAGUGAGCCAACCUAUUACCUCCCUUUUUUAUAUGCUAGAAUUUGAAGCUUUCAAAACCCAUUAUAAUUUUUUUAGCUUUCCAGAUGUAAUUACUAACCUCCGAUCUGUCUAUACCUUGCAUUCUGGUCUUUGAAAUAAUCACAAGUGAGUCUCCUUCAACCUCGACUUUUCACAUUUAUUUCCCCCUCUAAAAAUGCAUCCUAAAAAAUGAAGCUAUCAUCUACAAAAAUAAAAUAAAAUUGUGAUACUAUAGGUCUUAAGCGACUCACUUUCGCUCACUUCGCCAAACCUUCUUGACAAGCUAAUUGUAAUAGGGCUGAUAAUCCCUUACUAUGAAAAAGAAAUAAGAAUAGACUCAACAGGUCACCUUGCCCAAGUCCCCUAGAAGGGGGAGAUUUGCCCUCUUUGUACACCAUUCAAAACCACCGAGUACUAGACAAACUUUACACAUCGCAUUACCAACUUGACCAAUGCCUCACCAAAGCCUAUCUUAAGCGCUACCUCCUCAACUAAGUGCCACUCCACUCUAUCAUAUGCCUUCCUUCCUCAUAUCCAAGCUUCAACGCAAAUGAUCCUUUCCGUCCGCCCUUUUUCUUCUUGAAAGAAUGCAAUAAUUUGAAAGCCACUAUUACAUUAUCUAUAACCAACCUCUCUGGUACAAAUGCAUUUCGCGCCUCAUCAAUACAAUGCGACAUGAUCAUCUGCAAUAUAUGAAAAAUUACCUUGGAAAUUAUUUAAAUAAGACAUUACAAUGGCUAAUCGAUCUAAAAUGCAUCAUAUUAACAAUAUUAGGUUAAUUUUGAAUAAGCACUAUAUUAGGAUAAUUGAUCUCUGCCAAAGAUCCGCCAUUAUUCAAUAUAUCAAGGCAAUACUUACAAACAUCUGUGCCAACUAUAUGCCAAAAUUUUUGGUAAAUAAGAGUUGACAUCUUCCCCUAGUGCCUUCGUAGGGUGCAUACUAUGGACUGUCGCCAUUAUCUCCUCCUCUUUAAAUCUUGAUCUCAAGAACUCAUUCAAAUCAUCAGUAACAUGAAUCAAAAUACUUGAAAAGAGUCUCCUAUUAUCUCCUCUACCUUGUGAAGUGGACAACUUCGAAAAAUACUGAUAGGCAAUUUUUUCAAUCCCUUCAUCUCCAACCAUCAUCCGACCAUCCCCAUCCUCAAGUCGAUCAAUAGAUUUCGCCUUUUUGCAUUGAGAAACAAACCUAUAAAAAUGUAUUUUGAUCACCAUUUCUCAACCAAUUGGCAUUUGCCCGUUACUCUCAAUACCUCUCUCCCUUAUCAAUCUCCAAAUUUAAGGCUCCAUUUGUUUGCCAGUAAAAUGUUUUCCGGAAAAUGAUUUCUGGAAAAUGAUUUACUUUUCUGAAAAUGAUUUACUUUUCUAGUGUUUGGAUGAAUUUGUGUAAAAUAUUUUCUGUUAUUUGGCAGAUUUCUUGAAAAUAUUUUUCGAAAAAGUUGUUUUUACAUAUAUUAAUAAAUUUAUAUUUUAAAUUGUUUUUAAUAAAUUUAUACUUUAAAUUGUUUUUAAUAAAUUUAUACUUAAAUUAUUUUUACAUAUAUUGCAAUGAUUUAUUUAUAAAUAAAUAAAUCAAAUUAAAUAUAUAAUAGUACUCAAUUAUUAAGCUAUAAUAUUAACCGUCAUAAAUUGAAAACAACCAAAGUCUAAAUUAUUUGUAAUUGUGUUAUAAAAAAAUAAAAACAAGGAUUGAAUAAUUAUAAAUUAGCUUCCAAAACACAUUUAAUACUAGAAAUUAAUAAUAUUAUCCAAAUGCAUAAUUAGUAGCACACUACAUAAUAACAACAAUAUUGUUCAAGUGUAUAAUUAAGAGGAAAGGAUGAAGCCUGCCUCUAAAACAGAUCAUGAGGAUGGAGCUUUCUCUUUUAGGGAUUCUUUAACUGCAUUUAACAGUAAUGGCAUUAACUUCUGGUUAGUAACAAUGAUGCCUGUGUCCACAUCAAGAUGCUUUCCCUUAGAAAAAUCCAGGGGCUGCCCUGCAGCAUCUGUGACCACACCCCCAGCUUCUGCAAAUCAUGAGUUGCAAACAGGUGAAAGGGCAGAAAAAUAAACCAAUGUCAGCCAACUACUCCUUAGCACUUUGAAAGAAAGCCAAUGAUGGAGUGAAAUUGGUCCAUACCAGUUACAACAAUACACCCAGUAGCAUGAUCCCAUAUUUUCUCUCGAUACCCUUUGUGAGGAAAACGCAGAUAUAUGGCUCCAUCUCCUCUGGACAGGGCACCAUAUUUUGCCUGACUGUCAAUUCUAACCGGCAGUGCUUUGACACCAAGUUUCUGUUUACAUCUCAACAUUUUCAGUGCAUUAUUCAUGUGCUGGUCUAUAUGUGUCUGUGUGUGUGUAGAGAAAGAGAGAGGGGGAGUACUUGGGCAAUCAAACUAGAUAAAUCAUGCAUGGAGUGUGCUGCUUCAUAUGACUCAAAGAAUGAUGCUUCUUCAGGAUUUUCAACAGCACUUACUUGCACCUGAAACCCAUAAAAUUGUACAAGUUGCAAAUACGUACUCAGAUUAAUAGUAAUAAAUUAUAAAAUCAUUAUAACCUUCACUGCCGAAGAACUAUCAAGUGGCUGCAUAUAAGUUCCACCACCAACUUUAGCAAAGAAAAGGCAGCCAACUUCUUUUACAGCAAAUUGUAAAGAAAUCCAUUCAUAACAUAUAUCAAAACCAAGACAGACUUGUGGUUUAUCUUGCAUGAAGUACUGUUUAGGUAGCCCCUUUUUCUUGCUCUCUAAUCAAUCCUUCUAUACUAAAUAACAGAAGAUUGGAAGCAAAUCUAAACAUCUCCCUGCAGCAGUCAUGGCUGAGUUAAAGACCGAAAAUAAAAGUUACCACCUCAUGUUGGAUAAGGCAUAUCGUAAACAACAAGCACUUAGUGGACAUGAAUCAUUAUUAUAGCAGACACCAACUUAUUUAUGACUAAAAUAAAAUCACUUAUGUUAAAUAUAAAGUUUCAGAGCUCACCCUUUAGUACCAUCUAUAGGAUCUAAAACCCAAUGUCAACCUUGGCAACCACCUUUAGAUAUGCCAUUGUCAAUGGCCUUGAGAACGUCUUUUGUGGAUAAAGUAACAUUGUAUGAUCCAUCACUAGUUAAAGAAUCGUUCACAAGUUCUGUAAUGUGCUCUACUAUUCCUGGGCACCAUCUUUGCGAAGAUCUUUAGAAUCCUAAAGAGAAACCAAACAUUAUUUAGAAGGAAAGAAGGAUUCUAUGAUGUUAAAAAGAAAGAUGGCUGAUGGAUGCUGCUGAAACUAUUAUUCACAAGUACAGAGAUUCACCUCCUCGGCAACUAAUAAGGAUUCUAUGAUGUUAAAAAGAGCAUUGCAUCCAAUAGAAACUUUUGCUCAAUGGAAGAAGGGAAACAUCAUUCAACUUUGUAAAUUCCCUAGUAUAACAAAUUGUGAAAAGAAGGAAAAACUAAUUCCUAGUAACAUGCUAGCAAGAAGGAAGAAGCAAGUAAAUCAUCAGGGUAAAAAAAAUGGGAACCCAUUUCAAAUCCAAGAUACAUAUUUCUUAAAGGGGAUUAAAAGACUGGUAAUGUUGGGUGAAAGAACCAAAGAGGAAGCAGCAGUUUAGAAACAAACCAUAAUCAGCUACUGUUACAAGAGUUUUAUCAGUUUUGGAUUGAACAUCUGAUUGCAGCAAAGCCUUUUGUACAUUCUACAGAUUAAAACAAAAACCCCAAACCCAAAUUCAGCUUCUAUAUAUAUAUACAGCUUGACACGAUGAAAUAUAUCACAGACCAAACCAAUGAUAAAAUCAUCUGUAUAUUUUCCUUUUGAAAUUAAAGAACAAUAAUGCCUUCAUUAAUCUAAAUUGCAACAUUGAUGCAUAUGACAUGCCAAACUGAAUAAAUUGACUAAAUAACAGAUUUUCCAGCUGUGUGAUAUUAGUGUCAAUAAAUCAUGGGAUGGUUUUCACAAUGUAACAUUCUUACAUCCAUUCAUUCAAUAAAACAUGACAGAACAUAAGUAAAUUUGUUUGCUCCUGACAGAAUCUCAAUAGAAAACAAAAUGAAGCCAAUAUUGGUCCCUUAAAAAGAUCCACAAUCUUCAAAUAAAACAUGGACAAAAUCAUGAGAUAAACAAAUGAUAAAAUGCUCAGUACAAAAAUAUGCAACUUGUUUAAUUUUUCUAAUGCGAACAGUGCAGAUAAGCUACCACUUUGUUAGCUUACAAUUAUCCAACAUAUAAUUGAUGGUAAUUUAUAUCCAUUAAAAGAGAACCUAAUAACGAAAUGAGCAAUGAAACCAACCAAAUCCCCAAAAGGAAAAUCCCCAAAAAAUUGAUAACAUUAUUAACACUGUUCAAAUUAGAUUAAAAAGGGCAUUAAGCUGAUAAUCAUAAUUGAAACAAAAAAUUAUCCUAUAAUGCAACACUAAAAGGAAAAGCUGAAACUAGGAAAAGAGAAAUAGAUCAAUAAAAGGGGAAAAAAAACACAAUGAUGACCUGAUAAAAGACUUGCCAUUGAGAUGAUUUUCCUCAGGAGAAGGCUUUUUGUCAGUAUCAGCGUGAAGCUUUGAAGCAUAAAGGCUUUCGUUUCCACCAUGCAAGAAGAAAGAACUAGAACGGUGAAGAAAGCUUUGGUUUUGAUAUUCAUAGAUGGAAGCACCCACUUGGUUUAUGGCAAAGCAGCUGGAAUAUAUUAAUACUACAACUGUGAGUUUCUGAAAAUACCCAUUUCCAAUCAGAUCAUAAGAUAAACAAAUGAAUUUUCUAUUGUUGCCCAUCAAAAACCAUCGUUAAUGAAGUAUGGAAAUUGUCAACGAAAAGCCUAAUAGAAGAAGUAGGAGGAAAGUACCUGGAUGGAGAAAAAGGAAGAUGGAGAACUGCGCAAGGGGGAAAGACUAGUGAGAAUUGGAAAAUAUCUUAGGGAAAAAAAAUCUGUAAGACAUUUUCCCUAAAAGCAUAGGCAUUUUACCCGAGAUUUUGAAAACAUUUUCCCCAUGUAAAAUGUUUUCAGUCAAACAAACACCAGAAAAUCAAGAAUGUUUUCCAGGCAAACAAAUACACCCUAAUUAUAUUUUCGUGUUGACUAAUUCUUCCAGCACCUCAUCAGCUAGAGACUUACUAUUUAGUUCAUCUAAUCGAUGCUGUAAUUUACUCAUGGUCAUCCUCGAAAUUGCCUCACCUCCUUUGCCCACCUCAUUAACACAAAACCCUCCGAAUCAAUCUAUAGCUGUCAUACCUCCUCCUCACAUAACUCUUCAAGUAUCCAAGCCAUUUCAAAUUUAAAGCUACGGUACAUAUUCUCUUGCCUCUCAACCAAACUACAAGUGUUAAGUAAUUGUGGGCAGUGAUCAGAUACCGAUUGCAUACAAUGUUUAAGGCUAUAAUUCAGAAAUAAAUCUCACCACUUCGUUAUUACUACCCCUCUAUCAAGCUUUUCUCAAAUGUUAUUUUGAAACAAUUUUCCACGCUUUCACAUAAACCAUUGGCCUUUGUAUCCCACAUAUAAGAGAUCAGUCAUCAAGAGCAAACCUAAAAGCUUCCGUACUCCUCUCAUCUCUUAAUCUCCCCCUUUGCUUCUCAUGAGAAUACACUGUCUCAUUGAAAUCACCCAUAAGUAACCAUGGUUCAGUGCUUUUCGCUGAAAGUUUUCGUAGUAAAUUCCAUGAUUGAUGCCUUAAAUUUUCCAGUAGAUGCCCGUAGAAACCAGUAAACUGCCAGUGUUAUCCUCUAUGUCACCCUCCACCAUCAUAUUAAUAUGGUGCAAAGAGAAGCUACGUAACAACACCUUACACCCUUGUUUCCAACAUAAUGAUAAUCCACCAUUGUAUCAUCACUACUCACAUAAAUUCCUUCCACAAAACUCCAACUCUUUCAAACUUUCUCCAUCCUUGAACUUUGUAACUUAGUUUCCAUAAAGAAAGUCAUCUCGGGAUUAGUCUCCUUUAGCAUGUGCCGAAGGCAACGAAUAAUCCGGGGGUUCCCUAUUCCUCGGACAUUCGAACUUAAUAGUUUCAUUGUAUCUGGCUGCCCUACCUCUCAAAGCCAAUCGAUAUCUCAGAAAUAUGAACUACGAGGUUGUUUCUUUCCUUCUCCAACCUCUAUCGGACAAUCCUCCUCCUCCAGAUCCCUAUUCGAAUCCAUGUUUUCCUCCCCUCUGAUUUCACUUGUUUUCUUUCCUCCCAUAUUCAAUCCUAAUUUUGCAUUAACUUCUCUAAAAUCAACAUUUCUAAAAAGACCCUAUAUAUUCAUUUACCCACCCUCCUCCUCCUUACCGAAUGCCUUUCCCAGAUCACUAAGUCGUGGACCUUCCCCUUCUUCAUGUAACUAACUUGACGCUACCAUUGCUCAUUUUGCAAUUGCUUUAAUUAAAAGAUCCCAUUCAAACACCAUUUUUUUUCCUGAACAAUCCUCACUAGGCAAAAUCUCUUCAAAUGCCCUAACCAUUCAUACAGGAAACAAAACACUAAUAAUCUUUCAUAUUAGAAUCGAGCAUAUAUGUAGCUUUUGUUACCCAAAACAAUCUUCUUCCUUCUAUUUAGCAUAUUCCUCACAUCAAUCUGUACCCUAAUUCUCAUGUAGCUUCGAUAGCCCAUACUUAUGGAUUUAGCGUCAUAAUCUAAAAAUUGCCCAAGGAAAUCACCAAACUAUUUUGCCAUCACCUUAGACAUUAAACCCAUCAACAGAUCAUGAACCUGGAUCCAAAUUCACUUAAAACAACGGUACAAACAAUGGAUCUUCCCCUACCUUUAAUUUUUGGAAAAUCAACAAAUGAUUAUUAAACGUCCAAGGGCUUCCUUCCAAAAACCUAUCCAUGUCAAUCUCAAAAUAGAGCUUGAAAAAAAAAACUGAUUUUCCCCCAGAUUUGUAAUCGUCACUCCCCCAAGAGGAUGCCAUAAAUUAGAUAGGGUUGUACGCACAACUUGGAAUUGCACAACACUCGCAAUUAGGAAACUGCCCACUACACUCAAAUUUCCCCCUCCCCCUCCCCCUCCAAUCCCUCUUCCAAAUCGAUCUGCCAAGUCUCAUCUUCUCCACUAGAAAUAGACAAUAUCGCCAUCUCUUCCUCUAUUUCACUACCGCCAUCUCCAAUCCUAUCCUUGCACCCUUCGCUGCGCAAAGGAACUGCUAAACAAAGAAACCCACUUUGACAAAAAACUCAAGAUAUAUGAUUUUUAAUGUUCUAUAUUUAUAGUUUCUACAUACUCAAUCUAUUUUGAUAUAAUAAAUAAGGAAUUCAAUUUUUUACUUUUUACGAAUCUAUAUUAUAGUAAAAUUUUUCACAUUACACAGAUUUGAUAGAAAAGUGAUUUAGAAUUACUUUUUAAACAAGUAAGAGUUAUAAUGAUAUUUUAUGUGAAAGGUUUAAAAAAUAAAUAAAAAUCACUGCUUCAAAAUAAUAAAAAUAAAUAAAUGCCAACCAAUGGAACUUGAAAUUGAUAAGGAUUUAUAAAUAAGUAGUAAUUUAACACUUUACCUACAAUGUAAUUAUUGAAUUUUUUUUUAUAAAUAUAUUUUUAACAUUAAAUAGUUUAUUUUACAAGUAGAUAUGAUUUAAUCUAAUAUAUAAAAGAAAAAAAAUGUCUAGUUUUUUAAGAAAAAAAUUGGACAAGUUUCAAAUUAUUUAAAAAAUUAAAAUGACUUCUUUUAAGGAAACCCAUCAUCAUGAAAUUAAUAAAAAAAAAAAAUUGACACGUUUCACUAUAUGUAAUCAAAAGAACAUAAGUUUAAGUUGUAAAAAUAAGGAUCGAGUACAUGUAUCAGAGAAAGGGUAAAAAAUUUAGAUUUUGAAUAUAUUAGUUAAAAUUUAGUUUUAGUCUUUUUAAUACACUCAAAUUUGCAAUCUGUUUUGUGCACUUUAAUUUAGUGUAAAACUGGAAACUGAUUUUAAUUUUUGACUAAUUAAUUAUAAUGAACUAUUUUGACUAACUCCAAAAUUUGACAAAUAUAUUCAAAAUCUAAAUUUCUUCUAUCCUUUCUCCGCUACAUCUCUCCUUUUCUUCUUUAAGUUGUUCUGAUUUCCUGAAUAAUUCAAAACCUUGAUUUGCUUUUCCUAAUCAACUUUUCUUUUUCUGGAAAAAAAUUUGGUUAUCAUUCAUGGUAUUUUAGCAUUUUAUAUUACGUGCAUUUCAUCUCUUUUAUUAAAAAAUAUGUAAAUCAAUUUAUACGAACAAAUUAAUUCUUUAUUAAAAAUUUCAUUCUUUGUAUGUCGACAUGAGAUACAUAUGACAUGUCACAUACGUCAAUUUUUAACAAUAAAAAUAAAUAAAAUUUUUAAUUAAAAGAUUAUAAUGACAGAUUUACUCUCUUUUUUAAUUAUUAAAAAACAAUACAAUCUGACUCUAAACUCUUUACUUCCUAAAAGAGUUACUAAUUCUGCACGUGGUUUUUUUUCCAAUUCGGAUAGAGAUACAGGGUAAACAUAUCUUAAAACCUACACAUAAAGCCAACUUUUAUACCAUUUAAGAAGACAUUAAGUAUUUAAUACAAUCUUUCUAUUUCAAAUUUUAUUAUUAUAUAAUUUACGACAUUAUAAUAGUUUUAACUCAAAGCAUCAAGUUAAAUUCUCAUUUUUAAUACUUCUUUUAUACAAUGCCAAUUUUUAUCCAUAAACUACAGAAAAAAAAACACGCAUAAACACAGUCAAAUUCACUUCCUCCUGCAUUCGUUUUAGAUAUCAUGCAAUAAAAAGGGUAUAUCAAAACAGGGUGGUGGAUAUUCUUCACAUCUUGUUAAUACAUGAGUGCAGUUUAACCAUGAAAAGCAGAAGAGGCGUGUAUGGUAAACAAGAAAUGCUUGCCAUCAAAACAUAAAAAAAUUUCAUUUAACAAGAGAUGUAUGUAUAUAUAAAAUAAAUUAAAAAAAAAAAAAGUAAAACACAAAACAUACCACCUGCUGAUGCUUUCACAGAAAUCCCUAAAAUUUCAGUUUAAGAAUUGAGACUAUACAUGAUGGGCUUACUGCUUUCCUUGAAUAAAAAGAACCCAAAAAAUUGACAGUGAGAAGAGAUACGAGUCGCGAGAAGCCGACAGGUCCUCCAUCUUCGUCAGACUUGAAUGUUCCAUUGAUCAUAAUAUCGAGCAACCAACAUAUGACUUUUUCUUCUUAAUUUUUUUCGGAGGCUGGAGCACUACCUUAAUCGCUGAAUCAAAGACUGCCUUCACAUUCUGCAGUAAAGCAGUCACACAAAAUCUCAUGGGAAAUAAAAAACAGACUUCCACAGGUUCUCGGUUAACAAAAUAUGAAUAAUGUAUAUAGAGAAUAUGUAACCUGCUGUGUUUUUGAACUACAUUCGACGUAGGAAGGGGAUUCUAUCUGUUUCCUUAAUUCCUCUCCCUCAAGAAAAAGCAAUGCAACACAGAUAUUUUAAAUAAAUGAGACACAUUCCACACCAUAAAAAAGAAAGAAGAAACAAAAAAGAAUUAAUAUCGUUUAAAUAUGUACCUGAGCUGCGGAUAUAGGCGUUGAACCUGGAUGGUCUAUAAAGAAUUGCUCAUCAUCCCGAAGAUCUGCAGCCAGAGGAAACAAGAGACCGUUUGACGAAACCAAAAGAAUUUCAUCAACAUUGGUAUAAAAGGAUACAAUGAUUUAAGUCUUGUUUGUGAAUUGCAUGUGGCAAUGACACGUGGAUUUCAAGUCCAUUGGCACUAUGCCCAAGGUUCAAACGUGGUGCUCCAACCCAUCCCAUCCCUAAAUAUAUAAUUUGUAUGCUUGUUUCGAUACUCUAUUAAUUUGAGAAAGUUUUCAAACCAAAUGCAAUUCACAAAAAAGACUUAAAUCAUGUAAAAGAAUACCGUUGUCCUGGGAAUAAGAAUCAUACCAAGCUUAGUUCCAACAAGUACUAUUGGAACACCAGGUGCGUAAUGCUUUAAUUCAGGAAUCCACUGAAAUGGAGAGGAUGAAACACACAUGAAAAUCAGGCACAUGCAUUACAGAUAUACUGAACCAAAUUAUUAUCUAAAAAGAGAAGAUAUUCGAUGUUUAAACCUUCUUAGCAACGUUUUCAUAACUGGCCUUGCUGAUGAGAGAAAAUGCAAGAAUAAAUACAUCAGCCCCACGAUAGCUCAGUGGUCUUAAUCUAUUGUAAUCCUCCUGACCUGUUUCAAGACCAUGAUUUCAGACCCAAAGGCAAGAAAUAAAACAAACUUAAUAAUAGAAGAGGAAUUUCAGAAACUAAUUUUCCAAAUUACCGGCAGUAUCCCAUAAACCUAAGUUGACAGUGCUACCAUCCACAACAACAUUUGCACUGAAAUUGUCGAAAACAGUCGGCACAUAGUCCUGUUACCAGAACAAUGUAAAACCAAAAAAAAAAAAAAAAGUUUGCAGAAUCAGUACCAAAAUAAGCUAUCCCUCACAAAAGAGCACAAAGCCCCAAUCUUGGUUUAAAUUUACUGCGAAAAGAUGUGGUUGCACCUGAUCUGCUUACAUUGUGAGACAUUAAAACAAACCUUAACAGCAUUUAUAAAAGACAGCAUAAUUUUCCGAGGAAAUUCAAAGUUGCAAAAUACAGAACCAAGCUCACACAAACGUUAAAGAAUUCUUCUUUCACUUAUUCGGAAACAAUAAAUACACGCACACACACACACACAUGUUCAGCUAAUAUUAGAUUAAAAGCGCAGAUAAAUCAUGAGAUCAUGCAACGAAGAUGAGGAAAAUGCGGGAAAGAGGCUGACCGUAGGAAAAGUAUUACUCGUGUAGGAAAUCAGCAAGCAAGUCUUGCCGACGGCGCCAUCGCCGACGGUUACACAUUUUAUGAAUCUGGAGGCGCUCAUUUCCCUUCGCCGCCGUACGGAAAACCGCCUAAAGCCUGCUUUACCCGUCUCUCGGAUAUAUAUAUAUAUAGUUUUCCUCCAAUAAAAUGAUAUUCUCAGAUAUGGUUGACGGUGUUGUUGUUGUAGUUAAGCAAAGAAUGAGGAUCCAUAGGCCUCAUCAUUUGUCUCCACGAGGCAAACCCUAAGGAGCAGAAAGAUUGGAGAGAAAAAUGCAAAGUUAAAACGAGAGAGAAAAUGUGGAGAAAGAAAAGGGGGGAAAUGUGGCAAAAUGAAUGGAAGGAAAUUUGGAGGAAUUUAGAAUAAAUCACAAAUGACGAUUGCGGUUUAAGCGUAAGCCUCUAUUAACAACUCCUUUUUCAUCAUUUACCCCUUACUAUUAAUAUCAUCCUUUUCACAUUCCAAUAACAUCGUCCUCCUCCUCCUCCUUCUCAUCAUCAUCAUCUAAUAAUUAAACAAAAUUAGAUCAUUUGUUAAUUUAGACGAAUGGAUCAAUAAUUCGCAUGAUUCAGGUUGAUAAUUCAUAUAGUACUUUGUUUUUUUUAUCAUUAUAAUAUUAAUAAUAAUAAUAUUUAAAUUCAGCAACAUAAUUUUGAUCGAUUUUUCCAAACAAAACUUCACAAUUCAUGUUAACACCAAAUUUGAGUAAAUCCCACGGAAUGUUUCCUUCUCCUUUUUUUCAUAAUCCCGCAUCUAUAACCAUUUUUAAUCUUUUCGAGUAUUUUUUGAAAGGAUAAAUAAUUGAUUAUAAAAAUAUGUUCUAUUCUCAGUAAGUAAGUGAAUAUUAAACUUUAAAUAUAUAGUUAAAAAAAUAAAUCUAGCAAUCACACUACACCUCAUUUAUAGAAAGCUUUAGUUGAUAAACUUCCUUUGUAUAGAUAAUGAUUUUGCCUCCGAUGAGAUUAAGAAAAAUGAUGCGCUGUGCGUUUGGAUUCAACUGCAACUGUAGCGACGAAGUAAAAAUAAAAAAUGACUGUUAAGAACAUUAUAUUAAAAAUAAAUAUAAUAUAAGUUUUAGAAUAUCUUACUUUUAUGAAAUUAUUAAAAUAAUAAAAUAAUAAUGUGUAUCAUAAUAUUUUUAUAAAUAUUUUAAUUAUUUGUUUUAUAUUUAUUUUAAAUUAUUUAUUAUAUUAAAUGAUAAAUAUUAUUUAUUUCUAUUUUAAUUCAUUUCUUUAAAAAAUUACAAGUAUUAUUUUUAAAAAUAAUAUAAUAACACCAUCCUUUUGUCUAAAAAGAUUCAUCCUUGGAUAAAUUUUUAAAGAAUUUACUUGGAUUUUUUUAAAUACAAGAAAAUAUAUUAAUAUUGGAAAUUGGAAAUUAUAAUUUUAUUAAUAAAAAAAUAUGGAUAAAAUAUUUUUGAACUUUUUUGAUUGAUAUAAUUAUUUAUUAUUUAUUUAAAUAAUUAUUUAGCUUAAUCCUAAUGUAUUGAUAAUGAUUUUAUAAGUACUUUUAACGAUAUUUAACCUAUAAAUUUUUUUAGUAUUAACAUAUAAAAAUUUACUUUAAAAAAACCUAUGAAAUUUUGAUAAUGUCAUUUAUAUGUUCAUAUAAAGUUUUUAACUAAUGUAUUUUUAUUUUUAUUUUUAUUUUGUAAUUCAAAUUAAAAACGCACUUCUAUAUGAGCAAUUACAAAAGAAGCUAAUAACCUUCAGCAUCGAAAAACAUUAUAAAAGGAAUGUUUUUUUUCUAAACCCACUUUACCAAAUUACACCUUUUUGCUCGAGUUAAAAAUAAAAUUGUACAUUGAUGCAAAAUUUUAGGACUUGAUUCAAUUUUAAAAAUAAGCUUAAAAUUUUAUUCAAGUUCCACUUAAAUAAAAAAUAUUAAAUCCAAAUACGAUCCAGCUCACCCGUUUUAAUUUUUUAUAUAAAAAUAAAUUUUAAAAAUAUAAUACAUUAAAUAAACUAAAAAUAUGUUAAGCAAACUCGGGCCAAAUUAGGUUUGGGGCUAAAAUAAUUUUAUCCAAAACCCAAGGACCUUAUUUUUUAUUUAAACUUAUUUUUCACAUUUAUAUUUUAUUUAAACCCUCUUACUUUCCAAACAAACUAACCCUAUUCAUAUCCAAACAAUACAUAAACACCAGUUGAAGUGAUUUUCUGCAUAGACAGAUGUGAACCAAAUAUGCUUCACUUUCAUGUAUCCUUCACUGAGAAAAAAAAAAAAGACCGAAUGGCAUGUAGCCUGGGCAGCAAUUAAAGCUUUUGCCUAUUAGUUCUAAAUGGCACAAUUGUAAAUUUAUUUAGACAUAAUAAUAUUUUAAUCCUUCAACUUUUCUCUAAAAAAAUAAAUUAGCUUUUUAUAUUUUUUUCUCUCUUUUAAUCUUUAAAUAAUAGUGUUUGGUGAAAUUAGUUAAUUUUUAUCAAAAAAUUUUAACGAGGCCGUUAAAACAUGACGUGGCAUCCGCAUGAGUAUUUUUUAAUCCAACAAAACUCACGUGUUUUUUUUUCUGUUUUUUAACCUUUUCUAUCUUCGUAAUUUUUUCUUAUUUCUUCUUUUCUCUUCUCCUUCUCCUCCAUAGAAACCCUAGCCACCUAUUUACCGCCACCGCUUCCAGUGCCGUCAUCGAUCUUUUUCAGGUGACAGGUGCGCUCUUCCCUUCUCCCUCUUUCUUCUCCUUUUUCCUCCUAUUUUCUUUCGAUCCUAGCCCUAGGACUUAUUUGAUCUUUUAGAGAAAGGUUAAGUGCUAAAAGUAUCAUUAUGCAAUUUAUUUAUUCCUAAAUAUUAACAAUUUAGUUUAGUCCAUUUUAGUUUCUUUUGGUAAAUGAUUUUUUUUUCAUCAACGUUAAAAGAAAUCAAUUUAGAUAAUUUAACGCAAAAAGUUCAGAUUUUUCUUUAAUUCUAUCUCAUUUCUGUGGAGGUUUUGUCAACAUGUAUUGCGAGGGGAGACCCUAUUGGAAGCAGAACAAUUGGUGGCUUUAUUCUUCUUACAUAAAAUUCUCCCACUAACUUGUUUAACAGAACAUGAAUUUACAGUAUAUUGACACCUGGGAACUGGCAUCAAUGCUUGUCUCCCUUCUCACUCUGUGCCUCUCAUAAUCUACAAAGCAACCAUUUUAGUUUUUACUUAUUACACCAUUAAAAAUUAGUAAUUUAAAUUUAAAUUAAUCCUAAUCACUACUCUACUAACAUAAAUAUUAUUAAAUUUUAUAUAUUAAAUAAAUAUGUAAAAUCUUUAAUAAAGAGAGUGAGUAUUCGAUCGAAAAGUUUUGAAUUAAUCGAGUUUAUAAAUCAUAUUUUAUUAUUUUAAUUUAAUUUAAAAUUUUCUUCGAAUCAAAUUAAGUGAAAUAAUCAAAUAUAUUUGUUUGAAUUAAAUUUAAAAAAUAAGUAGAAUUUUUUAUUUUUAUGUAAUUUUUUAGAAAAUAAUUUUUUUAGGUUUUGAAAAUAUUUUGGUGAUAAAGGAGAGAAAAUAAAAGAUUUUUGGGUAAAGAGGGAAGAAAUAAAAAAUUUGUGGGGAUUUUUAUUUUUAAGUAAAAAGGGAAGGGAAACUAAAAAAUUUCCAAGAGAAGUGGGGUAAAGUGUUGAUGGGGAGGAAAUUUUUUUUUUUUUUUUGAAAAAGAUAUUGGAAUAAUUAAAAAAAAAUCGAUUUAAAGUUGCUUUUGAGCAUGGGAGUUUCAUAUUUCAAGCCUUGGAAGUAACCAGCGGUUCACUUUCCACUUAUUCUGUUUCUCUAAACAAAGAGAGGGAAAUGAGAAGCUUCUACAGUUACCUUCUUCUCUAUAUUUCCAUGAUUCUUCUACUAUUCUGUACCAGCACCAAGGGUUACAGUGAUCUUGAAGUCCUGUUGAAGCUCAAGUCUUCCAUGAUUGGACCCAAAGCUUCAGGGGUAGACGACUGGGAAUUCUCAUCGUCUCCAUCAGCGCAUUGCCAUUUCUCUGGAGUCAAAUGCAACGAGGAUUACCGUGUUGUUGCUCUGAAUGUGUCGUUUGCUCCCCUCUACGGCACCAUAUCUCCCGAGAUAGGGCUUCUGAACAAGCUCGUGAACCUCACCAUUUCUAAGGUUGAACUUACGGGGAAUAUUCCUACGGAGAUGAGGAAUUUGACUUCUCUCAAGACAUUCAACAUCUCUAAUAACUAUUUCCGGGGGAGUUUCCCUGGUGAAAUUCUUACAGGUAUGACACAGCUUGAGAUUCUCGAUGCUUAUAACAAUAACUUCACUGGCCUUCUCCCCGUUGAACUCGCCAACCUGAAACAUCUGAAGCAUCUGUCUUUCGGAGGCAACUAUUUCACGGGAGAGGUCCCCGACAAGUACUCCGACAUCCAGAGCUUGGAAUACUUGGGUCUAAAUGCCAAUGAUUUAACUGGGAAAAUCCCUGCCUCCUUGGGUCGUUUAAAAAACCUUAAGAGCUUGAUCCUCGGAUAUUUCAACGCCUUCCAUGGAGGAAUCCCACCUGAGUUUGGGUCCUUAACUCAACUCAAAAUCCUCGACAUGGCAAGCUGUAACCUAACCGGUGAGGUUCCCGAGAGUUUGGGUAAUUUGAAACGCUUGCGUACAUUGCUCCUUCAACAGAACUCCCUCACUGGUCGGAUCCCUUCCAAACUCGCUGGUUUAACUAGCUUGAAGGAUCUUGAUCUUUCCUUGAAUGAACUAACGGGGGAGAUACCAGAGAGUUUCUCUGCCUUGCAGAACAUUUCUAUGAUCCUUUUGUUCAAAAAUAAGCUCCACGGUUCAAUUCCGUCAUAUGUAGGUGACUUACCCCAACUCGCAGGGCUUAAACUGUGGGAAAACAACUUCACGGGUGAAUUGCCGGAGAAUCUUGGCCGCAAUGGGAAGCUCUGUAAUCUUGACGUUUCUUCGAAUUACCUCACCGGGUCAAUUCCACUAGAUUUGUGUAAGGGAGGGACGUUACAGGCGUUGAUUCUGAUGGAUAAUUUCUUCUUCGGUCCACUCUCUGAAAAACUCGGCAACUGCAAAUCUCUUACUAAGAUUCGUAUCAAGAAAAACAAUCUCAAUGGAACGAUUCCGGCCAGAAUUUUCAACUUGCCCUUGCUGAGUUUCGUCGAGCUAGACCAUAAUUUCUUCGCCGGUGAACUCCCACCGCGAAUGUCAGGUGAUUCGCUUGAAAUGUUAAAAAUCUCAAACAAUUUGAUCAGUGGUGAAAUCCCUCCAGCGAUCGGAAACUUGCGCAGUUUACAAGUUCUGGAGAUUGCAAGGAACAAACUUUCAGGCGAAAUCCCAGAGCAAAUAUUCGAAAUCAAGGUACUUUCAAAGAUAAACAUCAGAAACAACAACAUCACAGGUGAAAUCCCUCCUUCGAUCUCUCGCUGUACUUCGCUCACUUCAAUCGAUUUCAGUCAGAACAGUCUCAGCGGUGAAAUCCCAAAAGGAAUUAACAAGUUGGUACAUUUAAGCAAUCUCAAUGUCUCCAGGAACCGGUUAACAGGUGAAAUCCCUGCUGAAAUCGAGAACAUGACGAGCCUCGCAACACUUGAUGUUUCGGACAACAAUUUGAUUGGAAGGGUCCCCAGUGCUGGCCAGUUCUUAUUCUUCGACGAUAGCUCGUUUAGUGGAAACCCCAACCUCUGUCCCUCGAACGAUAGUCAUUGUCCAGCUAGAGGUUCAAGCCAUGGUCACGCACCAUGUUUCGCUGCUUCCAAGCUCAUAAUCACAAUCAUUCUGUUAAUCAUACUAGAGGGAAACUAGAGUUUGGAGUCCAACCAGCACAAAGGAUGUUAAACCUUAUAAAUGUAUACGUAAUUCGUGUAUUAUAAAAUAUACUAGGUUAAUGUAAUGUGGAGAUGUUACUUCACUUCCAACUUCCUUGAUUUCCAAACUUUAUCAAGCUUGGUGUUGUACUAAAAUUUGGGUUGGGAAGAUUUACUGUGGUGUCUACGGACGUCGCAACAGCAUGCAUGGUUUCUUCCCUCUUGUUACUUUAAAGGUUUUAUAAGAUAAAUGCCCUAAAAUAGUCAAAAUAUCACUGAGUUUAUAAUCCAAUCAACUCCAUUUAGCAACUUAUGGAAUAUAGUCGCAGUUUGCAACUGAUGGAAAAAAAAAUGGUAACUAAUUAGGGUUUAACGUGGAAAGUUUAAUUGAUUUUUUAAAUUAUUCAAGUUUAAUAAUUAUUAAAAUAUUAUAAAAAUUAUAGAAAAACUAUAAAAAUUAUAAUAAAAAAAACUAUUAGAGAUUAAUCAAUAUUAUCAAUAUGUUAUGGAAAUAUUAUAAAAAAUUUAGAAACUGUAAAAAUUUUAUUAAAAUAUAAAAAUAAGGGACAUAUUUGGUACACUACCAAAGAAAUUUAAAAAUUCCAUAAGUAAGAUUGGGUUAAUGACAAGUGUAUAUAGGGUAUAUAAAAAAAACAGGGCACAUAACAAAUAUAUAAUUCUGCUUGUAGAGUUAAAAAAAAAGGCACAACCAAUUUACCAAAUAAUUCACUCAAUAAAUUAUAAAUAAAUAUUAUAGAAAAUUUUUGUUGUUUUGCAUGUUUGGGAUCUUUGGUUUUAGUAAUAAGAGAUUGGGGAGCUUAAAGUGUGAUGGUGAUCAUGCUUGUAUAGGGUGCUGGCUAAGGAGUUUGAGUGACAAUGAAUUUAGUAUUUGGUGGCUUAAAAUGAGUGAUGAAUAAUAGUUUUGGUCGAAGAGAGGUGAUGCAAGGAAAGAUAAAUUUAUAUCAUAAAUUAUUAAAUAUUAUAAAAAAAUAAAAUAGAGAAAGUAGAAAAAAUAUAAAUCAUUUAAAAAUUUAUUGAAUAUUAUAAAAUUUUAAAAAUUACUACUUUUAUAAAUUUUCAUGAUAAAAAAUCAAAGUACAUUUAAUAUUCAUGAUAAACAAUUAUAAUACUUUUAUAAAUUUUCAUGAAAAACAAUUAGAGUACAUUUAAUAAAUUUUCAACUGAACGACCUUUUCUGUAAUUCUCGUACCACAAACUGCUUCGAUGUGGGUUCGAACGAAUUCAAAUCAAAUAUAGAACCAUAAAUUAUUUACUUACUUUUGAGUGAGAAAGCAAAAUUCUCUCUUUAAUAGAAAUUGAUAGAAUUGUUAUUUUUAAAAAAAAAUAGAAUUUAAAUUUUCGAGUCUUAAAAUUGUGUAUUUAGCUCUACUGGUGUCAUCUAUUUAUAAGGAGAAGAAGUAAAACAAUUGUUGAAUUAGUAGAAGUAUAUUUCAAUAAAUAAAUAAAAACAAAAUACUAGUUUAUCUAGGAAAGAGAAGGGCGACAACCCUAGUUAAAUAUACUAGGGUUCGUCCUAUGUAUUAAUAUAAGGGGUUUUAGGGCCUCUCCCGUAUCGGGUCUAAUUUAUAAAUGCUUGCUGAACUUUUAACUCAAUACUUUAUAAUUAAAUUCAAUCAAAUAUAUGUUUUUUUUCUAUUUUUCAAAAUAAACAUUGUAAAUUAAUUUAAAUUAUUUAAUUAAUUUCUCAAUUAAAUGAUUUUCUCAAACCGAUUCUAAUUCGCAAAAUCACGACAACUUUUAUAAUAUCCCGAAAAUUUCUACACUAAGAUAUUAUCCUUGAUUGAUAAGUAUUAUUAUAUACAAAUUCAGCUAACGGUAAAUAACGUUCCCAACCUGAUUCAAAAUCAAUGAUACAAGCUCGGAGCAUGUCUUCUAAAAUCUGAAUGACUGUUCUGACUGUCCAUCAGUCUGUAGAUGAAAAACUGUACUAAAAUGAAGUCGAGUACCGAGCGACUCAUGCAACCGUUUCCAGAACCUUGAUGUAAACCGUGGAUCCCGGUCAAAAAUUAUUGAUAUAGGAAUACCAUGUAGUCUUACAAUUUUUCGGAUAUAAGUUUCUGCCAACUUUUGAAGUGAUCAAUCUGUUCUGACUGCUAUAAAAUGAGCUGACUUUGUGAGCCGAUCAACAAUCACUCAAACAGCAUUUUUCUUACCAGUUGACAUCGGUUACCCUGUUACAAAGUCCAUCGUGAUGCAGUUCCAUUUCCAUUCAAGAAUAUUAAUAGGCUGAAGUAAUCCAGUUGGAACCUGAUAUUCAGCUUUAACUCGCUGACAUGUUAAACAUUUAGCCACGUAUUCCACUAUAUCUUUUUUCAUACCUGGCCACCAAUACAAUUCCCGUAAAUCAUGGUACAUCUUCGUUCCUCCGGGAUGUAAUGCAAAAGAACUGUCAUUGCUUCUCGAAGUAUUAACUCUUUCAACUCUGAAGUAGUUGGAAUACAAAUUCGAUUCUGAGAUCUCAAACAAUCAUGCUCAUCAAUGCUAAAAUUUUCUAUCAUAUCAUUCUGCACCAUUUCUUUCUUCUUCAUUAGCUUUUCAUCUUCUAACUGUGCUAUUCUGAUUUGAUCAAACAUUACUGGUUUUACUCUCAAUUCAGCCAAAAAACUUCUGUCAUCAAUAAUACUGAGCUGUGCAAACAUUGCUCUCAAUUUAGUUGCAGCCUUUCUACUCAAUGCGUCCGCUACCACAUUAGCUUUACCCGGAUGUUAGUCAAUAACACAAUCAUAAUCUUUUAGAAUUUUUAUCCACCGACGCUGUCUCAAAUUCAAUUCUUUCUAUGACAGAAGAUACUUGAGACUUUUUUUAUCAGUGUAGAUAUAGCAUUUCUCACCAUACAGAUAAUGUCUCCAAAUCUUUAGAGCAAAAAUCACCGCUGCUAAUUCCAGAUUAUGAGUUGGAUGAUUACGUUCAUAGGGUUUCAAUUGUCGCGAAGCAUAAGCAAUUACUCUUUCACUUUGCAUCAGUAUACACCAAGACCAUUUAAGGAAGCAUCUCUGUACACAACAAAAUCUUUUUUCGACUCCGGUAAAGUCAAUACUGGUGCUUCUGUUAACAUUUGCUUCAACGUUUUAAAACUUUUCUGACACUGCUCACUCCAAAAAAAUGAAACAUUCUUUUGUAAUAAAUUUUUCAUUGAUAAAGCUAUUUUUGAAAAUCCAUUUACAAACUUUCGAUAAUAUCCGGCCAACCCAAGGAAACUACAUACUUCUGACACAUUUCUUGGAACUUUCCACUGAAGUAUGGCUUCAAUCUUCUUUGGAUCUACUCUUAUCCCAUCUGCUGAUACUACAUGACCAAGGAAUACAACCUCCGUUAACCAAAACUCAGGCUUACUCAAUUUCUCAUAUAAUUGUUUCUCUCGCAAUAUUUGCAAAACAAUUUGGAGAUGCUGUUCAUGUUCAGUUUCAGACUUUGAAUAUACUAAAAUAUCAUCAAUAAAAACUACUACAAACUGAUCCAAGUACGGUUGAAAAAUCUGAUUCAUAAGAUCCAUAAAAGCAGCCGGAGCAUUUGUUAACCCAAAUGACAUUACCAAAAAUUCAUAAUGUCCAUACCGUGUAUGAAAUGUUGUCUUCAAUACAUCGCUCUCCUUUACCUUCAACUGAUAAUAUCUCGACCUCAAAUCAAUUUUUGAAAAUACAGAAGCUCCUUUUAGUUGAUCAAAUAAAUCAUCAAUGCGAAGUAAUGGGUAUUUAUUCUUAAUAGUUACCUUAUUCAACUGUCGAUAAUUAAUACACAACCGCAUUGAACCAUCUUUCUUUUUAACGAAUAACACUAGAGCUCCCUACGGUGAUGUACUAGGUCGUAUAAACCCCCGGUCCAAUAAGUCUUGCAGUUGUACCUUCAGCUCCUUCAACUCAGUAGGUGACAUUCGAUAUGGAUGUAUUGACACUGGAUUUGUGCCCUGGUAUACUUCAAGCACAAAUUCAAUUUCCCGAUCAGGAGGUAAUCCAGAAAAUUCUUCAGGAAACACAUCAGGAAAUUCACAUAUAGUUCAGAUUUUACUGCAUUAACUCUCAACUGAAUUGGAAUUAAUAACAUAUGCUAAGAAAGCAGCACAUCCUUGAUAAAUAAGCUUACUAGCUUUAAUUACUGAAAGAACACGAACAGUCCCACUAGUCCGAAUACCAUUUACUUCAAUCUGAUCACCACUUUCAUUCUGAACAGUGAAUUUCUUUUUAUAACAGUCCAAAAUUACUCCAAGUUCUGAUAGUCAGUUCAUGCCCAGUAUAAUAUCAAAAUCGCCAAAUGGCAUUGUAAUGACCAAUUUUGGCCUGGGCCCGUGCAAACACAAAACACCAAAAACAAAAAAACAAAACAAAAAAUACAAAAAAUAUAUAAAGCCCAACACAAUGGCCCAAUGCCCCAAAACAAGCCCAAACGACCUAAAAUUUUGGUCACUGGAAACCCUAGUAGCCUCCAACGCCGACUGCCCCCUCCAUAUCUCUGUACGCAGUACCGUACGACCUCCACGCGCCACGCACACCUACAAACAGACAAGAAAACAACAGCAAAUAGAAACAAAAAAAAAGCAAAUGGCAACAGGACAACAGCAAAUAGGAAAAAUGAAGAAAAAUUGUCAUUUUUAUUUUAUUUGUUUUGGGAUUUCGGUUAUAAAGCCAAAAACAAUGUAUUUUCGUUUUUUUUACGCAAUAUACAAAGAGGAACACAUACUGAAUAAAAAAAUAGGGGCAUUUCGAAAGCAAAUGAAAAGAGGUGACUUUUAGUCUUUAUUCCGACUUGAUUUUUAUUUUCUUUCUUCGUGUUUUUUUUAUUAUUUAGUGUAUAACAAAAAAGGAAGGAACUAACCUGUGUUUGGAAGCCUUUGAAUCUCUGCUUGUUUCGUCAUAAUCGAGACUUAGUAGCGAUUUAGAGAUUGCGAGCGAAAAUCACGAAUUGUGGUCCAAUGAAGCCUUGAUUGACCAUUGUUGGGUCGAAAGGAAAGGCAAGAGGAUCGUUAAUGGAGGGCUUGUCGAUCGGCUGAAUAUUGGAGAGAAAAGUUUGAUUUUCUUUCUCUUUUUUGAAGCGGCUAGGGGAUUUUCUUAGGGUUUAUUUUUGCUGCUAUGGGGAACAUUAGGUGACACCGUUUCAGGCUAAAAUUAAUAGCCUCAAAACAGCACUGCUUUAAAAAGGGGGUAUUUACACAAUAGGUCCUCCCCUUUUGUGCGUGCAUUUGAUUGCAUCUUGUUCGCUCUAUUUUGUUUUUUCAAUUUAGUUUGGUAAGUUGUGUUCAUUUUCAAUUAGGUCCGCGCCUCAACAAGGAUCUGGAAUAAUUCCAGUUUUAGUCCUUGUGAAUUUGCGCACAUUACGCGCCGGUCCCUAUUUUGGUUUCUUUUAUUUAUAAAUUAUCCCUUUCAUUUUUAA